AAAUCUUCCCAAUCGAGCAGUAAUUCACCACAUAAGUUGAAUUGUACAUAACUUGAACAUUAGGACCAUAGGUCUUGAUGCGAUUCUUGAUUUCCUUAUAAGUCACAACGCCGUUAUCAUGCAAAGCUGGUCCUGUUGCUGCUGCACCAAUACCAUUGUCCUCUGGUUUCACAAGCGUCCAUGCAUAGCCAUAGAAAGGCAAAGACAUAACCAACUUAUCUGCCGAUAACCCUCUCUGUAUCCAUGCCUUUAAAACCUGAUCGGUACUUUUAGCAAAGCCGCCGCUACUUGAGCCAUGGAGAGCCGCAGGUGGCGCAGUGAAGUUUGUUGACAAAGGCUUGUAGUAGUUAGCAGUAACUGCAUGAACCCAAUUCAAGUUUCGUUGCAUCGAAUUCAAAAGAUAUGAAUUCGCUGGUGGUGAAUAACGAAAUCUUGCGGUCAAAAUCAGCGGGGAUUGCUGGCGACUAGAGUUUUUUGCCUCUAAUUUUGUAGCAGCAAUUCGCCACUCGUCAAAAAGUAAACCAAUAUUGAACAUAUCGGUGCUUGUGUUAGGAGCUGUCCAAGCAAAGUCUAGGCCCUGAAAGCCAUAAAGCCUAGCCAUUCUUAUUGAAGAGUCGAUGAAAGAUUCUCUGUGAGAAGAAUUUCUCACCAUUGAAGAAUAAAUAGAAUAGUUUGUAUCCAUUCCUUGUCCAAUGGAGAGAAGUAUAGUGAUUGAUGGGUUCUUUUUUUUCACAGUGUCUGCGAAUUUGGCGAUUUGAUUUUCAUCGGACGGUAAUGAUAAAGAUAGCUGGUAAGUGGUGGAAUUGAUAUCAGCAGAAGAGCAAAUAAGGUGAGUGAAGAGAUCAUAAUUUAUGCCCGAAAUGGUGGACACUUCGCUUAGAUUCAAGUAACCGACCCUAAUCCACGGUUUUGCUUUCGCGGGAUGAAGUUCUGAAUAGAGCAACGCGUGGAAGAUGAUGCUGAUAAUUAUGGAUGCCAUUUGAGACUUUGUUAGGAAUGGAAAUGGAUCCACAGGAGAGAAAUUAAAUAAACACUAGUUUCACAGUUCAUUUGAGUUCUUAUGUAAACUAUUAACGCAUAGGUUCAUUUCGUUCCAAAAAAAUCUUAUGUGCUCCUGAUAGGGACACAUACAUUGCAUGUUAAGAUGAUGAUAGGCUGAGAACUAAGAUUUUCUUCCAUCGCUUGGGUGACCUUUCAUGAAGAAAAAUGAUGUUUUGAUUUGCAUUUGGUUAAACUGAUGACAUAUUUCGGGCAAUAAAUAUCAGUAUUGUUUUAUUAAAUAAUAAAAAAAUUAAUUUUACAUGUACGUUGAAAGUUAAUAACUUAAUAUUGCAGUCUUUUGAGCCUGUGUUGACGUUUAUUCGGGUGUAUUCGUUUAUUAUAUAUUCCCGUUUUUCUCCCCGUGUCUGUUUUGCUACAGUGCUCUUAAAAGGAUAACAUCUUUAAUACACCUCAGAAGUAGUUAAGAAAGUCUUGAUAAAAAACCAGACAUUUUCUUUAUACUCAAAAAGUAGUUAUUGGACUAAUUAAGAUUCUAAUCCCUUUAAGAAAUAUUCAAAAGGGGUUAUUGUCACUACUUUAGUCCUUGUUGUUUUAUUUCAAAAGUUAUUUCACACUAGUGUUUAAUAUAAGAUACAAUACUACCAAAAUUCUACUCAAUAGUUUAUUUAAAAUAGUAUUGACUAUUAAAAAUAAGAAUUUACACUAAUAUUAAAUUCAACAAUUAGUAACAUUAUUUAAAAUAAUUAUAGUAUUUAAAUGGUUAUUUAUCUUUAUUAAAUAAGAUUUAACAUAAUCCUCUGCGACAUUUUACUAAAUAAGUACAGUUUUAUAUAUAAUUCAAUCUAAUCGUAAAAAAUAAUUUAUUCCAAUCCUACCUUCCAAACAUAGACAUAGUAGACAAUGAGAGCAUGAGUUAAGAGAUUAUAAAUCAUGGACCAAGGGACUAAAGAUACGGACCUUGAGAUCAUAUAUCGUGGACUAUUAGAGACUAAUGACCGUGGACAAAUCUUAGUACAUAAAAAAGGGAAUUUUAGUCAAAUGUAGUUUGAUAUUAAGGAAUUCAGCAAGCAAGCUACAAGAAUAUCCAAAAGCGUGUAAUUUAUGUUUAAGGAAAUAAGUGGAGAUAGAGAUGAAAUUGCAAAUUCAUCCCAAUCUUAAGUGGUUUAAUUCAAGAUGUAUGUUACCUACAAGCACAGUAAGCACGGUGAUGUCUCUCUUUAACACAGGGGACACAACAAAAACACUGUUAUUUUCUACCCUUUUAAAAAAUUCCAAUAAUAUGUACACGUUAUACAUACAUGCAUCACAUACGUGCGUCGAUCAUCGAUGUAAAACUAACAGCAAAUUUCUAGUAAAACAAACAUCAUUACUUUUAGUAGAAGAUAUAAAAAAUAUCAAUUAGUAACCAUUAGAAAAUAAAAAUUUAUGUAAUUGAUGCAGAUAAAUGGAAUCAAGUAGUAACAUUUCCUUCUCUUUGAAGAGAAAAGAUUAAAAACAAAAAGGGGGGCGGAGCGCAAACAUGACAAUUUUUUUUAUCCGCACAUGCCAUGAUAAUCGAUAAUCCGAUAUACCAACCGCGUCUAAUUGUCUGAAUUCUCCAGCUUAUCAAGCUUGCUCAAUUGCACCGACAGACACUGACCAUGGGAGAUUAAUCACCACUCGCAGUAUUAGAUGCGUGAAGGACACAUUCGCCAAUAAUUUAUAGCGGACAGUAGCAUUCCCCAUGCCGCACGGAGAAAAAUAGUUGGAUUUGCGUAAGUUAAAUUGACUUGACUCGAAUGGUGGUGGUUGCUGUUAAGCGGUCAGUACUUCUGGCGACUGCUUGGCUUACACGCAGUUCUUGGGGGUGUCAUUUGACUGUGAAAAAGAAUUUUGGCUUUAUUGAUAUCAUGUUGGCUUUGGAAUUUUGGAUGGCUUCGUUUGGACCAUAAGACACGAUAUCGUUCAUAACACGUUAGCAGUCCUUCUCACGGGAGAAAAACUGGGGUGGGGGCAGAUGUACCGUAUCAACUGCCGUUUAGCAAGUCCUGCUCUCGUAUGGAGUCACCACUUUGACCAGCACUUUAUCCCUUAUGGACCGAUCCGGUGCGAGCAGGGAUUGGUCUGGGUUGUGGUACGAGUUUAAAAGUGUCUCCCACAAUUGGGGUCCACUCAAGACCACCUCGUGGUUCAGACCACAAACAAAAUUGUCGUUUAGCAGAUCAUAUGAGUCCUCAAAGUGUCACUUACAAUUUUUUUUAUUAUAAAUGACUGUCAAAUAAUUAAUCAAAAUUUUAUUAUUUACGGUUAUAAUUAGAAUGAUAAAAGUUGUACAGUUACAUCCACAUAUAAGUUUAUCUUUAAAGGAUAGGGGCAAUGAAUAUAACCGUAUAAGUUAUAACCUCAUAUAAGUUUCUUUCUUCUUAUGGAUAUAACUGUAUAUGGGUGGCGUUAUAUAGUGCCCCACAGAGGCUCUUUAAAAUUAUUUUAUGUACAUUUUAAACAUUCCCUCUUUAUUGAUUUGAAACACCAAAAAUACCUCUCUUAAAUUUUAAAAAUAUAUAAAAUAAAAAAAAUUACAUGUUAAAACUAUGCUUGAUGUCUCUAGCCUAACAGUUAGCACACGUAUUGUACACUUUCACCUUUUUCUUCUCAAAUUUUUUACUCCUCUUUUCUCUAAUUCUUCACACUUCGCUACUAUCUCUAGAAGCUUAUUACUAAUUUUCUGAUCAAAUUACUUAUAUAAGUACUCUUAGUUGAUUAUCACUUCUUUAAUUUUUUUUGGAGAUUUCUCUUAAAUGAAAGAAUUAAGGUUAUGUUCUAGAAAAUUUUUAACUCCCAUAUUAUAGUUUUGAUAAUGAGAUUAUCCUUAAAUUUUCAACAUAUGAAAAUACUUCGAAACAACUAUAAAUGUGUUGAAUGAAAUAUUCUAAUAAAUUUAGAUUUUAGUACUUAUUAUUUAUUAAUUUUUUUUUAAAUUACAUUACUAAUUACUACUUGAGCUUAGCCCUUGUGACAUUAAAUUGCUGAUAGCGCCACUAAAUGUAAGUUUUAAACUCAUGUUCGAUUUCUCCCAUGUGUAAACUCUGCCUUUAAUUUAUUAUUUAGUGAUAUUACAUUGCAUUAAUUAAUACAAUACAAAUUGUUUACUAACAGAGCCUCAAGAGAGUAAUUUAUUAUUUAGUUGGCAAAUUAAACAACUGCAGCAGUCACUAGCAGCUGGCCAAGAGCUAGCAUAGAUCAAUUGUUCAUCUACCUACCACUUGUGAAAUUGUUACAUCAUUACUUGAACAUAUUUCCAAUCCAAUCGUGGUUUUGUUUUGUUCGUCUUCAAAAGCUUUGUUUGAGAAACUCGCAGGCUUCUUUGGAGUCAUUAUAUCAGCUGUAUUCUCAUUUUCGAGCAUCGAAGAAAUUUCCAGUAUAGAAGGUCUAUCGUUUGGGUUCUCCUGAACACAUAGCAAAGCUACUUGGAGACAUGUCAAUAAUUUCCACGAGGAAUUCGUUUCAUCUAGUGAUGGAUCCAUUAACUCCACGCCUUUCCCAUUCUUCCACAACUCGUAUGCCUGAAAACAUCAAAUAUGUUAUUGAGUUACAUUCAAUUGAUUAGCACUAUAAUGUUUUGAUUCAGUGUGUAUUAGAAAGGGGGUUAUGAAGAAACUUACAUACUCUACAAGGCUUAAAUUUUCAUUUUGACCAUAUCGAAUGAAAAGUCUUCUUCCACUUAUAAUUUGUAGAAUCAAAACUCCAAAACUGUAGACAUCAGAUUUAGUGGAGUAGACGCCUCUUCCAACAUAUUCAGGAGGAAUAUAGCCUCUGUAGUAUCGAGUAAUUACAAAUAUUACUAAAACUAUUUGACGUAAAAGAUUAAGUUGAUUGGUAAAGGUUCGACAAUAAUAUUAAAGACAAGUCGGAAAAAAAAAGACAAAUAUAUACUUACUGUGUUCCAACAAUUCGAUUUGUUUUUGCUUCAAGAUCAUCUUUCACAAAAAUUCUAGCCAAGCCAAAAUCAGAUAUUUUAGGUUUCAACUCUUCAUCCAACAAAAUAUUACUAACUUUUAAGUCUCGAUGAAUAAUUGUUAAUCUAGAAUAUUCUUGGAGAUAGAGAAGCCCCUGAAUAAUUCCUUGAAUGAUAUGAAUACGUUUUUUCCAAUCCAAAAUAAGCCUUCUGAUGGGAUCUGCAUCAAAUGUAAAUAUAGUUGGACGGUCAGUACCAUUAGCAUUUGGAGACGAGAAAUGCAAAUUGAGGCACAAAAAUUAGAAAUUAAGCAGUUAAGCACAUACCAAAAAGGAAAUAGUCUAAGCUUCGUUUUGGCAUAUACUCAUAGAUGAGCAUAUAUUCUUGUGUGUCAAUGCAAAAACCCAAAACUCUGAUCAGAUUUACGUGUUGAAGCUUUGCAGUAAGCAUAACCUCAUUCUUGAACUCCUCAAAUCCUUGUGUGGAUGUCUUCGAGAGUUUCUUCACUGCUAUUAUUUGUCCAUCAGAUAAUACACCCUGCAAACACGCCCCAAAAUGUUUUUUUUUAAAAGCACUAUGUUCACACACACACACACACACAAACACACGUAGCUUGCACUAAUUAAUUAAUAAGCUUAGAGAUAACCAAGCUACCGAUACAUAACCUUGUAAACAGGACCAUAUCCACCCUCCCCGAGCUUAUUUUCAAUUGAAAAUCUAUCCGUGGCCACCUCAAUAUCAGCCAAGCUAUAUUCUCUGAGAUCAGGAUCAUUGCUGUUAAAAUCUCCAGCAUCUGCUUGACUAUUUGCGCUGUCCUUUGAUGCUUUGGCUGAGUCAAUUACGGUCCAAUUAAUAUCAACCAAGAGAAAGAAAGCUAAUUUAAGUAAAUUGCCCACUUCUUCAUCUGUGUUAAAUGGAAUAGAAGUAAAAAUAUUCCUAAUCCCGUGCAGAAGAAGUUACCUUCUAAUUUGAGGUUUUUCAUCCAGCAGUAGUAAUACAGCAAAAAGCCUAUUAGAAGAAUACAAGCUGUAGUUAUAGGCAAAACAAUUGCCCAUAAUAGCCGCUUAUUUUGUCGAUUCCUUUUAUCCUCUUCAGCUGAAAAGUCAAAUCACUUUGUGUUAUUUAACCACUGAUGGUCAAAUAAAGAUCUUAAUUGAAGUCAUUAUGCAGAGAAGUGAUCGAAUGGGUAGCAGGCAGUGAGUGAGGCUUUGCAUUUGCUUACCUGCAGCUUGAGAAAGCAUCCAAUAAUGAUCACUGGAAACUUCCCACACAUAGUAACCACGUAGCUUCUUCUCCUUGGCAUAUGCAACCUUCACUCUAACGGCCUCGACAUCAUCAAAACCAAACCAAAUCUUCCCAAUCGAGCAGUAAUUCACGACAUAAGUUGAAUUGUACAUUACUUGAACAUUAGGACCAUAGUUCUUGAUGUGAUUCUUGACUUCCUUAUAAGUCACAAGGCCAUCAUCAUGCAAAGCUGGUCCUGUUGCUGCUGCGCCAAUGCCAUUGUCCUCAGGUUUCACAAGCGUCCAUGCAUAGCCAUAGAAAGGCAAACAUAAAACCAAUUUAUCAGCCGAUAACCCUUCCUCAAUCCAUUCCGUGAUUCCAUAUUCAGUAUUAGAGACACUAUUUGGAUCAUACAGAGCCGCAUGAGCACCAGUAAAAUUUUGCCACGUAGGGCUUGAGUAUUCGGUAGUGAUAACAUGAACCCAAUUCAAGUACUGUCUUAUCGAGUCGACUGGAUAAGCUGCUGCUGUUGAGAGUGGUGAAUAUGCGACCUUUGCUGUCAAAAUCAACUGUGAUUGGCUCGAGUUAUUUCUUGCUUCUAAAGCAACGGCAGCUCGCCAUUCUUUAAAGAGAAUGCCAAUAUUGUACUUAUCCCGGCUUGUGUUUGCCUGAUUCCAAGACAGAUCUAAGCCUUGAAAGCCAUAAAGCCUUGCUAUUUUUAUUGAGGAGUCAAUAAAGUAUUUCCUGAAAGAAGGAUUGCCCGCCAUGGAAGAAUAACUUGAAUAGUUUGGAUUAUUGCCUCCUCCGAUGGAAAGAAGAGUAGUGAUUGAUGGGUUCUUUAUUUUGACAGUGUCUGUGAAGUUGGAGAAUUGUUUUUCAUCAGAAGGUGAUAAAGAAAGCUCAUAGGAAGUUGAGUUGACAUCAGCAAAACCACACAUAAGGUGAGUGAAAAGAGCAGAAUUUACAUCUGAAACGGGGAACCCAUCGUCUGAAUCCCAGUAACCAGCUCUGAUUAAAGUUUGUGCCCUUGCAGGAAGCGAUUCUGAAAAUAUAAAAAUGUAGAGGACAAGAAUGAUAAUUUUGGAUGCCAUUGUGGGAACCUUGAUGCUUUGAGGCAAACCUAGUAUGUGAUUACAUAUAUAUGUACAGACACAAAAUGUAAUGGAGAAAAUAUCCGACACCGAUUGAGAUUUGUUAUUGGACUAUAAUACAAACUUGAGGCAACUUUCAACUCAUGAGCUUAGCUCAUAAGUCUUUAUACGAUAUCAAAGUCAAGUUUCGAAAGAGUGACUCUAUACUACCUUUCAAUUUAACAAAGAGAAAGAAAAGAGAUCAACCUACACGUGGUAGGAAGAUAGAAAAAGUAUAUCACAUUGGCUAAGAUUAAUUACUAGGUUGAUAAUAUAAGCUCAAAACAACACUCAGGUCCAUAACAAGCUGUAAUUUAAUAAAGUUAGGUCAACUCGAUAUUUUAUAUAGUACGUCAUGAGUGAGGAGGAGUUUAAGCUGCAAAUCGCAGUCAUGAGUGAGAACAAAUUUGAUUUUCUCAAGAUUUUGCGUUUUGUACACGUUGAUCAUGGACUGAAUCAAGUUAGAAAAUAUUUUCACAAGAUUUUCCCUUCAAAUUGCAUGGAUGGAACCAUAGAGGAAUACAUCGAAAAGUUUGUCUUCUUGUCAUGAUGUUAAGUGAUAAGAUUGAAGCUCUUAAAUUAAGCUAUGACGUUUUACCUCCACUUAGCUUGACUUCUGAAGCUGAAGACUCAUGCUUUUGCAUUGACUUUGUUGGUAUUUAAAUGACCUCGGAGUCUUGGACGUGUUUCUGAAGCAAUGCCAUGGUCUAUGAGUACAUUUUUUUUUUUGGGUAAAAAAGGGAAAGUCUGUCGUUAGGAAAACAUCCUGACAACGGGAUGGUGAGGGGGGAAAAAAACAAAUUAUACACUUAAUUAUUUCCUCAUGAUAAGAUUCAGUAGUAUUGUAAUUUUAAUAAAAAAUUAAGACCCUUUUGCCCUUUUUCUUGUGUAAUUUAAUUUUCAAACAAGACCACCCUCCAAUUUUAGUAUAAAAGCCUAUACGAAUGUCCGUUCACUUUGACUCAAUGUUUACAUAAAAACAAAUGGCGCGCAGACGAUUUGUCGAUCUAGUACCACUCUCGUAUACUUGGUGAGAUUCAGCUUCACCAAAUUUGUAGCCUAUAUUUUACUUUAAUGAGAAAAUCAAAUAUUGUUUGAACAAAUAAUUUUCUUUUUUCUAUAUACUUUCUUAAAAUGUAUGGAGUGGGUAAAGUACAAAUUGAAUUUUUAGCCCUUUGACUCCUCCAAAAUUCGAACUCAAUUUAAUGUCAAUUAAAAUAAUGCUACUUGAAAAUCAUUCAACCAAAUAUCGUAAAAACUAUAAUUUUACGAAGUGAAAGUUUCACUGAUUAUUGAAUUAUAGAACGUGCUAUCAUUUCCUAGUUAGAAUUUGUUUAAUUCUAUUAAUUUACAAUCAUUCUUUAUUUUAUUUAAUUAAUUAAAGUGAAUUUGUUUUGUAUAAGUUCUAUAUAUGUAAAAUUUUAAAAUUCAGUGUUGAACUUAAUUGUACUAAACCUUUUAUAAUUUUUUAUCACACCUGCAUGUUUAACAGUCUAGUAUUAAUAUUGAUAGCACAUAAUAUAUAGGAUUAAGAGACAUUGAUUUCGGGUGCUACAAGAUUUUUAGGAUUGCAUGCACAAGGGCUUAAAAACAAAGUGAGGAUUUAAUUACACCAAACGAGGGUGCGUUUUUAUGAUAAAAUAUAAACUACGUGCAGGGUUGUAAAAGUGGCUCCAUAAUCAGUGUACAUUGACAUUCAUCUAGCUACCACCUCCGAAAAUGAUACAUCAUUAGCCGAGCAUUUUUCCAAUUGUGUUGUAGAUAAUAGUUCAAUCCCAAUUUCAUCAACUGGUUUUGAGAAAGCAGGCUUCUUGGGAGUAUUUGUAUUUGUGGUUUCAUUCUUGAGCAUUGAGGAAACUUGUAACAUUGAAGGUCUAUCGUUUGGAUUCUCCUGGACACACAACAAAGCUAUUUCCAGACAUCUCAUUAAUUUAUAAGGAGAAUUUGUAUCAUCUAGUGAUGAAUCGACAAACUCCACGCCUUUGCCACCUUUCCACAACUCAUAAUCCUGAAAUUAUCAAGUACCAUUUUGUUACAUAAUUUAUACUUCUUAAUUAAGUGCGCAUAUGUGUACUCAGGGUUACUAUAGCCAAAGAAACUUACGUGCUCUAGAAUGCUUAAAUUUUCAUUGAUGCCACAUAACAUUGAAAGCCUCUUUCCACUUAUGAUUUGUAGAAGUAAGACUCCGAAACUUAAAACGUCUGAUUUGGUAGAGUAUACACCUUUACUGGCGUAUUCAGGAGGAAUAUAGCCUCUGCAUUCAAAAUAACCAAAAAUAAGUACGUAUAUAUAAGUAAGGGAUUUUGCAAUUUAAUAAAUUUGUAAUUACAUUGUGAUAAAAGUCUAUCCUGAAUUUUAUUAAAGAGCUGGAUUCCUUAUUCGAAACUCACUAUAUAUAUAUAUAUGUGUGUGUGUGUGUGUAUGCAUGCAUGUAUGUAUGUAUGUAUGUAUGUAUGUAUGAAUGAUAUGUAUACGCGCACACAUGUAUGUACACAUAAGUACAUCGAGUAAACACAUCAUAUAUAUAUAUUAAAAUUCUGUAUUAGCUUGGUCCUCAUAUACAUACAAACAUAUAACAAUCAGAAGCUUGAGUAAAGGAUAUCAUUUAGAUGUAAUAUACUUACAUUGUUCCCACAACUUGUUCUGUAUUCGCUUCGAGACUCUCUUUUGCAAAAAUCCUAACCAUACCAAAAUCUGAAAUUUUAGGUUUCAUAUCUUCACCUAACAAAACAUUACUGGCUUUCAAGUCUCGAUGAAUAAAAGUUAGUCUUGAGUAUUCUUAGAGGUAUAGAAGCCCUUGAGUUAUCUCUUCAAUGAUACGAACACGUUUUUUCCAAUCCAAAAUAAGUCUUUUGAUGGGAUCUACAACAAAUAUAUAGUUUUGGACAAUAAGUGAUAUGCAAAUGAAUUACAUACACGAUUAAUAUUAACUUGAUUCCAGAACAAACCAAAAAGGUAGCAAUCCAAGCUUUUGUUUGCAUGUACUCGUAGACCAGCAUCCGUUCCUCACUGUCAAUGCAAAAACUAAAACUCUAAUAAGAUUUAAAUGUUAUUCAAUUGAUUAGAACACCGAUUGAAAAGAAGUUCCUUCUAAUCAAUUGAAAACCUAAAUUCUAAUAAGAACUGAUAAAAAAAUCAAUUCGAUGUUAUUCUUUGUGGCUCUGCUUAGAAUACUGAAAAAUCAAGUCGACUUACUUAUUUUUAUAUUGAUCGUUACAAGUCUCUUGAAUUUUUUACCUACUUCAUUAACUUGUUAUUUUGAGUUGUAUCUAACAUGGCUUCACUCUUUUUUUUCUUUACUUUGGCUUGGUUUUCUUUACAACUUGAAAGGAAUUUAGAUCUAUUACAAAUAGAUGUAGGCAAUUAAAAACAAAAAAUUAAUUACUUAAUUAAUUUUCCGGAAGUACUCUUCACUGUUACUGUUCACUAAAAAAUAUUAAUUUUCCAAAAACACAAUAAAAUGCAGAAAAUUAAUGACACAAAAUUUUUUACAUGGUUUGGAUUAAUGAAUCCUACAUCCACGAGGCCACGCCCAGAUGAAAAAAAAAUUCACUAAGUUGAGAUGUUACAACCUAUGGAUUUACCAAACUUAAGACACUCACUUACAGUUUAUCACCAUACAGUUUACUCAACCUUAGACUGAAUUUGCUUCUCUUGAAUAAUCGCUACCCCUCUUGAUUCACGAUCCUCAAGGUACUUCGCAAAGUGAUCAAUAGCAAUUCUUCAAUGUCUAGUGAUCCAAGAUCCACAUAAACUCUCCACAGAGAUGAAAAGAAAAUAAGAAAACAAAUCAACACAACAUGAUGCGCCAAAUCGGGAUUCUCUAGGGAGAAGGCCGAAUUUUGCUUCUCUGCUUUAUGCUCUGUGUUGUGCGAUCAAACUUCAAUUGUGAAAUACAUCUCUUUAUAUAGGCACUAAAAUUUCACCAAAAUAGUAAGUCUUAAAAGACUUGGAUUCUUUUCAAAUAAGAGUUUAUUUCCUCUUAUAAUUCCCAUGAUUCUGAAUAGCAUUAAAUCUGAUUUUUUUGCCUUACUUGUCUCCUAAGAAAUUUUUAGAGCAUUUAAUGACUUCCUGUUUGAACCAACUUCUUGCUCUAAAUAGAUCUCAUGCGCCAAUUAUAGAAUCCCACCAUUAAUUGACUUGCUAAAAUAGACAUCUAAUAAAAUUAGGAGCCAAAAAUUCUUAAUAAAUUGCAAUCUCACUAAAUUAGGGAAUUAAUAAAUUAAUCCCUAUUACAAGAUAUGCAAUAAAUAAACUUCCAAUUUAACUAGACUUGGCAUAAAAUGCCAACUCUAUAAAUAAUGGACUUAACACAACUCAUAAAAAAUUUCUUGUUAAGACUGUAUGAACCAAUUGAACUUCAGAUUCAUACUAGAACUACGAUGAUUCAAUAAGACCUUCAAAUUAAAUCCACAGAUUCCAUGAGUGAGAACCCUUGGAUUACAUUUGUUCAAGUUUAUGCUUUGAGUAAAAUAAAAGUAGAAAUAGGAAUUUGAAAGAAGAAAUUUAGUUAUAAAAAAUUGUCAAAUAAUUAAUUGUUUGGCAUUUAUUUUAUUGGUCCCAACCCAUGUGAUCCACCAAAUGAGACGUUUUAUGUGAUUGUUUGUGCCAUGGUGCACUAGCCUCAUAUAUGUUUGUUUUUUCUUAUGGAUAUAACUGUAUAUGAGUAGCGUUAUGUAGUGCCCCAUAGGGGCUCUUUAAAAUUAUUUUAUGUGCAUUUUAAACAUUCCCUCGUUGUUGAUUUGAAACACCAAAAAUAUCUCUCUUAAAUUUUAAAAAUAUAUAAAAAAAUUAUGAGUUAAAAGAAUGUUGUAUAUCUCUAACCUAACAUAUAGCACACGUAUUGUACACUUUUGCUUUUUUCUUCUCUAAACUUUCACUCCUCUUUUCUUUGAUUCUUCACACUUCACUGAUAUCUCUGAAAAAAUUAAACUGUCUCUAGAAGCUUAUUACUAAUUUUCUCAUCUAAUUAUUUAUAUAAGUACUCUUGAUUGAUUAUCACUUCUUUAUUUUUAUUUUUUUGGGGGGAUUUCUCUUAGAUGAAAGAAUUAAGGUUAUGUUCUAAGAAAUUUUUAACUCCCAUGUUAUAGUUUUGAUAAUGAGAUUAUCCUUGAAUUUUCAACAUAUAAAAGUACUUCGAAACAACUAUUAAUUCGUUGAAUGAAAUAUCCUAAUGAAUUUAAAUUUUGGUACUUAUUUUUUAUUGAACUUUUUCUUUUAAAUUACAUUACUAUUUGAACUUUGUCCUUGUGACAUUAAAUUCUUGAUAGCGCCACUAAAUGUAAGUUUUAAACUCAUGUUUUAAAUUACGUAUCCAAGCUUUCAAUGUGAUCUAAAGAUCUCAUAGCUUCAUUCGAAAUUAAUAAAUGAUCUCUAAGUGUUACGAAAAUGAUAUCAAUGAAAUUACAAACUCUUAAGAGUUUAUAGAACAUUAAUUGAUCCAAGUCCAAUACAAACUGCUUACUAGUACAGCCUCAAGAUCUCCAUUUAUUUUUCAGUAGGCAAAUUAAGCAACUGCAGCAGUCACUAGCAGCUUGCCAAGAGCUAGCAUAGAUCAAUUGUUCAUCUACCAACCAGUUGUGAAAUUUUUGCAUCAUUACUUGAACAUAUUUCUAAUCCAAUCGUGGCUUUAUUUUGUUCAUCUUCAUGAGCUUUCUUCGAGAAAGUUUCAAGCUUCUUUGGAGUCAUUAUCUCGGCUGUGUUCUCGUUUUCGAGCAUCGAAUAAACUUCCAGCAUAGAAGGUCUAUCGUUUGGGUUCUCCUGAACACAUAACAAAGCUAUUUGCAGACACGUCAAUAAUUUCCAUGAGGAAUGCGUAAUCAUCUAGUGAUGGAUCCAUUAACUUCAUGCCUUUCUCAUCCUUCCACAACUUGUAGGACUGAAAACAUGAAAUAUGUUUUUGAGUUACAUUCAAUUAAAUAGCACUAUAAAGUUUUGAUCAAUUGUGCAUUUUAAAGGGGGUUAUGCAGAAACUUACAUAGUGUACAAGGUCUAAAUUUUCAUUAUGACCAUAUUAAAUAAAAAAUCUCCUUCCAUUUAUAAUUUGCAAAAGUAAAAUCUCAAAACUGUAGACAUCAGAUUUAGUAGAGUAGAUGCCUCUUCUACAUACCCAGGAGGGAUGUAGCCGUUGUGGUACUGAGUAAUUACAAACAUCACCGAAAUUGUUUGACCUAAAAGAUUAAGUUGAUUGGUAAAGGUUUAACAAUAAUAUUAAAGACAAGUCGAAGAAAAUAGACAUAUAUAUACUUACUGUGUUUCAACAAUUCGAUUUGUAUUUGCUUCAAGAUCAUCUUUCACAAAAAUUCUAGCCAAGCCAAUAGAUGAUAUUUUAGGUUUCAAAUCUUCAUCCAACAAAAUGUUACUAGCUUUCAAGUCUUGAUGAAUAACUAUUCAUCUAGAAUAUUCUUGAAGAUAGAGAAGCCCUUGAGUAAUUCCUUGAAUGAUAUGAAUGCGUUUUUUCCAAUCCAAAAUAAACCUUCGGAUGGGAUCUACAUAAAAUAUAAGUAUAGUUGGACGGUCUGUAGCAUUAGCAUUUGGAGAUGAGAAAUGCAAAUAAAGGAUUUCGUAGAUGAAGAAUUUCUCGCUGGAAGAAUAAGUUGAAUAAUCUGCAUUUCCUCCACCGAUGGAAAGAAGGGUAGUGAUUGUUGGGUUUUUUGUUUUCACAGUGUGGUUAGAGAAUUGUUCUUUCAUCAUAAGGUGACAAAGAAAGCUUGUAGGACAUUGGAUCGACAUAAGCAAAACCACAAAUGAGGUGAGUGAAGAGAGCACAUAAUUUAUAUCUAAAAUGGGGAAGCCAGGCCUGGUUCCCAAUAACUAGCUCUGAUUAAAGUUUGUGCUUUUGCAGGAAGCGAUUAUGAAAAUAUAAAAAUCUGGAGGACAAGAAUGACAAAUUUGGAUGCCAUUUUGGAAAGCCAGCUGCUUGAAACAUGCCUAGUCUGUAUGUGUUUUUAUACACACACAUAAUGUAGCAGAGAAAUUAUCCUACAUUAACCGAGAUUAGUUAUGGGUCUAAAUAAUAUAUGUUUUAAGCAACCCUCAACCCAUGAGUUAAGUUCGGAAGUUUAUAAACAGUAUUAGAGUCAGAGUUAGGUUAUAUAUGGACAAAUGCGCUUAUAUUACCAAACUAAAAGAUCAGCGUGCAUUUGAUGGAAUGAUAGGAAAAAUAUCCCACCUUAGUAGUUAAGAUUAGUUACUAAGUUAACAAUAUAAGAUUAAAGCAAUCUUCAACUCAUAUAACGCAAGAGUAUGAAUCAAAAUUUAAUAAAACUUGGUCAAUUCGAUAUUUUAUAAAGAUAUACGAGCUACAACUCGAGGUCGCUCAUGAGUGGGGACGAGUUAGAUUAAGGCAAUCUUCAACUCAUAUAACGUUGAUCAUGGACCGAAUCAACAUAGGAAACAAAAGUCGAGGAAGUUGAAUCUUCUGGCCUUCAACAUUGAAAAGGUUGUCUUCAUUCAAUGACGAUCGUCUUGAAGUUCUUAAAUUAAGCUACGACGUUUGCCUCCACUUAGCUUGACUUCUGAAGCUGGAGACUCUUCCUUUUGUAUUGGCUUCGUUUGUACUUAAAUUACCUCGGAGUCUUGGAUGUGUUUCUGAAGCCAUGUCAUUGUCUACGAGUAGAAAUUUUUUUUUUUUUUUUGGGGGAAGAAAGAGGAAGUCUGUCGUUACUUGUUAGGAAAACAUCAUGACAAGAGAAUAGUGAAGAAAAAAAGAGAAGAAAAGAAUAGGAAAAACCAAACUGACAAACACUUAGUUAUCGACCCCUAUGCCACUGGCCUGUAGAACACACUCCCUCAGAAGUGAUUUUAAGUUCUUGUAAUUUUCUGUAUAAUAUGAGAGCAUUUUCCUGUUUAAAGCAGGGGCAGUAACAGUGUCACAAUAGAAAGCCUCCUGAUGGUAAGAUUAACUAGUAUUGUGAUUUUAAUUGGGGGUAAAAAAGUCCCAUACGCUUAUUUCCUUAUAUGAUUUAGUUUCAAGUCAAGACGACCCUCUUCAUUUUAGUAUAAAAGUCUAUACAAAUGUACUUUUUACUCAAUGUUUACGUAGAAACCGUUGGUGGUUCAAUUGUGGGGAAUGGCAAAUGUAAAGAAAUACAACAAUAAUGAUGGAACUUUAUUACAUAAAGUAAUGUGUUUACAACUAACUCUAUAUGUAGAAGAAAAAUAAUAGUAAUAAGUAAACUGCAGAAAAUUUGUGUGCUUCAAGGCACGUUACAAAUGUCGCUUUUCUUAGGACGUUAUUUGCCCCACCAAUUAAGUGAUGCACAUGGGUUAAGCAAAUACGCCUCCAGGAUACAAUAAAGCACUUGUUUGUUUGCUUGCGUUGUGCAUAGACGAAAGCAAACCAGAAUACUCUUGAAUGUUGCAAGUCUGCCAAGAAACAAUAUAUUGUUCCUGCAGAAAACAAUAUAUUAGAUUUUUAAUGCACAAAAGAAAUUGGUAUUUUGUGUUGAAAUUCGUACUAGAAAGGAAUGAUAAGAAAAGAGUGGUGUAUGAUCAUUAAUUUCAUGUCUAAAUGGCUUAAACAUGACCCCUAUUUAUAGAUAUACUUGUGCCCCCUCAUUUGGGUUGUCAUCUUUCAUGAUACCCCUUCAUUCAUGGCCAUUGGAUCUAGAUUUGAUUUUAAUCAAUCGUCCAAAUUGAACCAUCACCAUUUCAAAUGAAAUGUCACUAUGAAAUGAUGCAUCUCUAAGUGAAAUGUUGCCAUGAAAAGUUAUAUCAUUUAGUAAAAAGAUACAUUUUCUAUAAGACACAAUUAAAUGGACAUGUCCUUACAACAAGACAUCAUUUAAUUACACGUCUUUAGUGAAAUGUACAUUUUCUAUAAGGCACAAUUAAUAGGACAUAUCUUUACCAUAAGACACCAUUUAUUUCAUUUAUUGUUAAAAAUUUUCCAACAAUCCCCCACCAUUUUCAAAAUAAAUGAAUUUUGAAAAAUUAUCUUGCGCAGGCUUGGAAAACUUAUGCAUAGAUGAAUGUGUCUUUUGGACUUGAACCUUCACUUAGUGACAAUACAUCAAAGUUAAUCAAGGUGGCAUGGUAGGCAAGCUUUGAACCAACGACCUUAAUUGACUAACCGGAUAUAUCUCACACAUAAGUUUUCAAAUUCUCAAGUAUUCCUUAGCCGACACGUGGAUUGACCCUGUGUCUAUAUCCUGUUUUCAUGAGCGCUUUAGUAACCAACCAAGUUACAUAGGAAGCGGCACCAACUCCUACACUCACAUAGGUAGACUUAUCUGGAAUGUCCCUGUAACUAAAACAUUUAUAAGUCUAUUAAAAGCUAAGCACCUUAACCUUUCCCAUAUGUUACAGGUAUCAAGCACUAACCUUUGGGACGCAUCUAAAAAUAUUAUAGUGCUUGUUAUUACAACAUAUGAUGUACUUUUGCUCAUUGAACCCAAGAUCUUGAUAUUUCAAGUGUUAGGUUGAGUUUCCAUCAUUGGUGAUAAGAUGAUGCUGGUUUCAGUCCCAUCCCCUUAGAAGUUUUUAAUACAAUAUCCAUUGCAAGGCCUUUAGUUAAGGGGUCCGCCAAAUUUUGGCAUGAUUUUACAAAGUCAAUUGUGAUUACUCUAUCUGUAAGUAAUUGUCUUACAUAACUAUGUCUUAGACCAAUGUGCCUAGACUUUCCAUUAUAAAUUUGACUAUAUGCUCUUGAUAAAGUUGCCUCACUAUCAUAGUGAAUAGAUAUAGGAGGCAUUGGUUUAGGCCAGAUAGGAAUUUCUAUAAGGAAAUUCCUUAACCAUUCAGCUUCCUUGCAACAUAAAGCCAAAGCUAUAAAUUUUGCAGCCAUGGUGGAGUCUGCUAUACAAGUUUGCUUCUUUGAGCCCCAUGAAAUAGCUCCUCCACCAAGAUUAAAAAUCCAACCACUUGUGGAUGUAUGAUCAUCUCGAUCAGUAAUCCAACUAGCAUCCGAAAAUCCUUCUAAAACUGAAGGAUAUCUAGUGUAGUAUAUACCAUAAUCCAUUGUAUGUUUUAAAUAUUUUAGAAUUCUGUACACUGCUUGCCAGUGUGCUUGGCUUGGAUUACUAGUAAAUCUACUCAGCUUUCCAACAGCGAAAGCAAUAUCAGGCCUAGUACAAGUCAUCGCAUACAUAAGACACCCAAUAACACGUGCAUAUUCUAAUUGGGAUACUGAUCUGCCAGUGUUAGGAUACAGUCUUAUGUUUGAAUCAAAAGGUGUUGACACAAGCUUACAAUCAUAAUAAUUAAAUUUCUUUAAAAUUUUCUCAAUAUAAUGUGAUUGGGUCAAUAAUAGGCCAUUCUUAUUUUUUAUAAUUUUAAUCCCCAAAAUCACAUCAGCAAGUCUCAUGUCUUUCAUAUCAAAAUUAGAUGACAAUAAUGAUUUAGUGAGUUCAAUGUUCUCACUAUCAGUACAAAAAAUUAACAUGUCAUCUACAUAUAAACAAAUAAUCACACCUUUAUUUCCAUUGAAUCUGCUAUAGACACAUUUAUCAGAUUCAUGAAUAAUAAAUCCAUUUGAGACAAUCACUUUGUCAAAUUUUUCAUGCCACUACUUUGGAGCUUGUUUAAGACCAUAUAAAGACUUGACUAGUUUACAAACUUUAUGUUCUUGUACUGGCAUAACAAACCCUUCUGGUUGUUUCAUGUAAAUUUCCUCAUUUAAUUCUCCAUUUAAGAAAGCCGUUUUUACAUCCAUUUGAUGGAUUUCAAAAUGAUAAAUUGAAGUCAAAGCAAUCAAGACUCUAAUAGUAGCAAUUCUUGCAACAUGUGCAUAAGUAUCGAAAUAAUCAAGGCCUUCUUUUUGUGUAAAGCCUUUUGCUACUAGUCUUGUUUUAAAUCUUUCAAUUGUUCCAUCAACUUUCUUUUUCUUUUUGAAAAUCCAUUUACAACUUAUAGGAUUAUAGUCAGGUGGUAAAUCAACUAAUUUCCAAGUCUGAUUACCCAUAAUAGAGUCAAUUUCAUCAUUAAUGGCCUUUUUUCCAAAAAGCAGCAUCUUGAGACUUUAUUGUCUCUUCAUUUGUGAGGGGAUCAGACUCUAUAGUAGGUGUGAUCAUGGUCUGUUUUGAUUGUGAGUCUCUUGUCCCUUCAACAAAAUGGACUAUAAAAUCUGGUCCAAAGGAUUUUAUAGUCCUUAUUCUUUUACUUGUUCUCAAAUGAUUUUGCUCAUUAUUGGCAUCACGCUUUUGACCAAUUUCUAUUUGUUUAUCAUUCUCUUGAGAAUCAAUACUUUUUGGUAUAGUGAAAAAUCUAUUUUCAUAGAAUAUUGCAUCUCUAGAUUCCACUAUAGUAUUGAUCUCAACAAAGCUAUUAGGUUCUGUUACAAGAAACCUAUAAGCUUUACUAUGCUCAGCAUAUCCUAAGAAUAUGCAUCCAAUGCCCCUUUCUCCUAAUUUCUUUAUCUUAGGUUAUGAUAGCCUUAUAAUGGCUCGACAACCCCAAACUCUUAGAUAAGAAAGAUUAGGCUUUCUCUUUUUCCAUAAUUCAUAUGGGGUCACCUUUGUUUUCUUAUUAGGCACUCUAUUUAAGAUAUAACAUGCAAUUAAAAUAGCUUCACCCCAAAAACAUUUACCAAGCCCAGCAUUAAAAAGCAUAGCAUUAACCAUUUCUAUUAACCAUUUCAUGUACAAUGCCAACAAAUUCACAAAAUUCAGAAAAAGCAUAUUCACCUCCUUUAUCACUUCUAAGGCAUUUAAUUUUAGUGUCACAAAAAUUCUCAACUUUAUUUUUAUAAGUUUUAAAUUUUUCUAACACUUGAUCUUUAGAAUAUAAUAAAUACACAUAGCAAUAUUUUGAAAAAUCAUCAAUAAAUGUUACAAAAUAUUUUUUACCACCUUUAGAAGGAUUACUAUGCAUAUCACACACAUCGCUAUGAAUUAAAUGCAAUAAAGAAGAUGUUUUUUCAAUUUUUAGAAAAUGAGGUCUUGUGAUUUUAGUCUGUACACAUACUUUACAUUUUCCAUGCAUAUCAUUUUCAUCCUUAGGAAUUAACUCUAAAUUAGCCAUAUCAUGCAAUCUUCUAAUAUUCACAUGUCAUAAACGAUUAUGCCACAAAGAUAAUGAAUCAACCAUAUAAACAGAAGAAACAUUCAUAUUAUUGAUAUUGAGUUUAAACAUUCCUUCAUACAUGUAUCAUUUCCCAACAAAGGUACCACUCUUAGAUAAUAUAAAUUUGUUUGACUCAAAAACAAGUUUAAAGCCAAACUUAUUGAGAAGGUUACCAGAUACAAGGUUUUUCCUAACUUCAGGAACAUGAUAAACAUCAGUAAGAGUUAAAGUUUUUCCAGAAGUAAACUCUAGUUGCACAUUGUCUUUUCCUUUAACUAUUGUAGUGGAGGAAUUUCCCAUGUAAAGAACAUUUCCAUCAUCCAUUGCUUUAUAAGAUUUGAAAAGGCUACGAUCUUAGCAUACAUGCUUGGUUGCACCAGAAUCUAUCUACCAUGCAUUAUCAUCUUCAAGAACAUUAAUAUCAGAUAUCAUAGCCAUAAAAUUUGUGUUCGAAACUUCCUUUUGUUUCUUCAAAAGUCGACAAUCUCUUUUGAAGUGGCCAGGUUUUCCGCAAUGGUGGCAUGUACCCUUCUUUUUCUUUUUAUUGUUUUGAUUAUCUUUGGAAUCAAACUUUCUCUUUUGGUUAUUCUUAGGGUGAUUAGAAUGCUUAAACUCCUUCCCUUCCUCUACGACAUUAAUUUUUAAAGGAUGUAGUAGUCUGAUCCUCAAGACUAUUAAGCUUGAGUUCCUCUUCAAUACGAAGACUUGGGCCUAAGCCAUCCAGACUAAUUUCCUCUUUGUUAUGUUUAAGACUUUUCUUAUAGUCUUUCCGAGAGGGAGGAAGUUUAUCAAUAAUUGAAGAGACAAUAAUAGACUCAUCCACUUUCAUGUUAUGUUAGUUGAAUUGAUCAAGAAUAUGCAAAAUCUCAUUAUAUUGUUCAACCACAAGUCUAUUAUCAACCAUUCUAUAAUUAAAAAAUUUAGAAGCCAAUAAUUUCUUACUUGUGGCAUCUUCCAUCAUGUACUUAGCCUCUAAUGAGUCUCAUAUUUCUUUUGCUGUAGGUUUGUUGUGAUAUUGAUCAAACAAAGUAUCAGACAUGGCAUUGCAAAUGUGUCCUUUGCACACGUAGUCAUCUUGCUCCCACUUCUGCCGCACUCUGGUGUCCGCUAAUAUCUCAUCCUCACGUUCUUGAGGCUUUGGUGUUGUGAGAACAUAGACCACAUUGAGACUUGUCAACAAGAAAUGCAAAUUUUUCUGCCAAUGAAUAAAGUUGCCACCAUCGAACCGCUCUAAUUUGACAAAAUCUAUUGCGAAUUGUCGAAGAGAUGAACUUGGUGCCAUUGUUGCUGAAAUAACGUCUUAAGAUUGUUGGUGGUUCAAUUGUGGGGAAUGGCAAAUGUAGAGAAAUACAACAAUAAUGAUGGAACUUUAUUGCGUAAAGUAAUGUGUUUACAACUAACUCUGUAUGUAGAAGAAAAAUAAUAGUAAUAAGUAAACUGCAGAAAAUUUGUGUGCUUCAAGGCACGUUACAAAUGUCGCCUUCCUUAAGACGUUAUUUGCCCCCACCAAUUGAGUGAUGCACAUGGGUUAAGCAAAUACGCCUCCAGGAUACAAUAAAGCACUUGUUUGUUUGCUUGCGUUGUGCAUAGACGAAAGCAAACCAGAAUACUCUUGAAUGUUGCAAGUCUGCCAAGAAACAAUAUAUUGUUUCUGCAUAAAACAAUAUAUUAGAUUUUUAAUGCACAAAAGAAAUUGGUAUUUUGUGUUGAAAUUCGUACUAGAAAGGAAUGAUAAGAAAAGAGUGGUGUAGGAUCAUUAAUUUCAUGUCUAAAUGGCUUAAACAUGACCCCUAUUUAUAGAUAUACUUGUGCCCCCUCAUUUGGGUUGUCAUCUUUCAUGAUACCCCUUCAUUCAUGGCCAUUGGAUCUAGAUUUGAUUUUAAUCAAUCGUCCAAAUUGAACCAUCACCAUUUCAAAUGAAAUGUCACCAUGAAAUGAUGCAUUUCUAAGUGAAAUAUUGCCAUGAAAAGUUAUAUCAUUUAGUAAAAAUAUUCAUUUUCUAUAAGACACAAUUAAAUGGACAUGUCCUUACAACAAGACAUCAUUUAAUUACAUAUGUCUUUAGUGAAAUGUACCUUUUCUAUAAGGCACAAUUAAUAGGACAUAUCUUUACCAUAAGACACCAUUUAUUUCAUUUAUUGUUGAAAAUUUUCCAACAGAAACAAAUGAUUUGCUGAUUUAGUACCACUUUUGUAUACUGGGUGGGAUUUGGCUCCUCCAAAUUUGUAGCCAAUAUUUUACUUUGAUGAGAAAAUCAAAUAAUGUUUGAACAAAUACUUUUUUUUCUAUGUACUUUCUUAAAACGUAUGGAGUGAGUAAAGUACAAAUUGAUUUUUUAGCCCUUUGACUCUUCCAUAUUCAAACUCAAAUUAAUGGUCUGUUAAAUAUUGCCACUUAAAAUCAUUCAGCCAAAUAUUGUAAAAACUAUAAUUUCACAAAGUCAAAGUUUCACUUAUUAUUGAAUUGUAGAGUGUGCUAUCAUUUCCUAGCUAAAAGUUUGUUUAGUUCCAUUGAGUUACAAUCAUUAUUUUAUUUUAUUUAAUUAAUUAAAGUGAAUUUAUUAUGUAUAUAUUCUAUUUAUGUAAAAUUUUAAAAUUCAAGCUGAAUUGAAUUGUACUAAAUUUUUUAUAAUUUUUUGUCACACCUGCAUUUCUAACAGUUUAGUAUACAUAUUGAUAGCACAUAGUAUAUAGGAAAGAGAGAUUGAUUUCGAGUGCUACAAGAUUUUUAGGAUUGCAUGCGCAAGGGUUUAAAAACAAAGUGAGCAUUUGAUUACACUAAGCGAAGGUGCAUUUUUAUGAUGAAAUAAAAACUGGUUGUAUAAAUGGCUCCAUAAUUAGUGUACUUAACAUUCAUCUAGCUAUCACUUCCGAAAAUUAUAUCAGAAGCCGAACACAUUUCCAACUGUAUUUUAGAUAAUAGUUCAAUCCCAAUUUCGUCAACUUGUUUUAGAAAGCAGGCUUCUUGGGAGAAUUUAUAUUUGUGGUUUCAUUCUUGAGCAUUGACGAAACUUCCAACCUUGAAGGUCUAUCAUUUGGAUUCUCCUGGACACACAACAAAGCUAUAUCCAGACGUCUCAUUAAUUUACAAGUGAAAUUUGUAUCAUCUCGUGAUGAAUCCACAAACUCCAUGCCCUUGCCACAUUUCCACAACUCAUAUGCCUGAAAUUAUCAAGUAUUAUCUUGCUACAUAUUUUAUAGUACUUAGUUAGGUGCAUAUAUAUAUAUAUAUAUAUAUAGACACACACACACACACACACACAGAGGGUUACUAUAGCCAAAGAAACUUACAUGCUCUAGAAAACUUAAAUUUUCAUUGAUGCCACAUAACAUCAAAAGACUUUUCCCAGUUAUCAUUCGUAAAAGUAAGACUUCAAAGCUAAAAAUGUCUGAUUCGGUAGAGUAAACACCUCUAUGAGUGUAUUUAGGAGGAAUAUAACCUCUACAUUUGAAAAUAACCAACACUCUUUCAGUAUGUCUAUAUAUAUAUAUAAUCAGCUUCAGGUCUGGAAUUUAAAUUUGAAAAGAGUCUACAAUGUUGUAAAUUGCAUUUAUCACUGUUUUACAAUGGUAUAAAUUUAAUUAUAAAUGACUGUCAAAAAAUUAAUAGAUGGUUAUUAUUUAUGAUUAUAAUUAGAACAUUAAAAUUCAAGUCGACUCAUUUAUCUUUACAUUGAUUUUAUUCUUUGUGGUUAUACUUAGAAUAUUAAAUAAUUAAGUCGACUGGUUUAUCUUUAUGUUGAUCAUUACAAGCCUCUUGAAUCUUUUAUUUACCUAUAUUUUCUUUGAUCUGUUAUUUUGAGUUGUAUGAAAUGUAGCUUUACUCCUGUUUUCUUUACUUUACUUUGGUUUUCUUUAUUGUUGAUAGGAAUUUUCUUGUUAAAACUAUAUGAAUAAUUGAAAUUUUAAAUUCAUACUACAACCAUGAUGAUUUAAUAAAACCUUCAAACUAAAUCCACAUAUUCCAUGAGUAAGAACCCUAAGAUCACAUUUGUUCAAGUUUAUGCUUUAAGUAAAAUAAAAGUAGAAAUGAGAAUUUUAAAGAAGAAAUUCAGUUAUAAAUAAUUGUCAAAUAAUUAAGGGAAAAUGACAAACACACCCCCAACGUUUAGGCAAAGGAACAAAAACCCCUAAUGUUUUAAAAAAAACAUUUACACCCCAAUUUAUUAUAAUUUUACCAUUAUACCCUUCUAGCAUAUAAAAAAAAAUAGAUUAUCCAAUUUGUCUAUAUAUUGUUAAUAAAAUUAUAAAUAGACAAAUUGGAUAUUAUAAAAAAAAUUAUAAAUAUACCCUCAUUGUCCAAUUCCUCUAUUUAAAUUUGUAUCAAUAACCAAUUUUCAAAAAAGACAUUUAUAGACCUAAAAAAAUUGUAAAUAAAUUAUAAUUUUAAAAAUAAAAUUAAUUAUUAAUAACUAAUUUUAUUUAAACUUUAAACUUGUAUAUUUAACAAUUCUCCACAUGUCAAUCAUUUAAACUUGUACAUUUAUAACCAAUUUUCUAUGUUAUUUAUUAUGGUAUUAAUAACCAAUUUUAUUACCAACAAAGUGUUGGCUCCACUGGCAAUGGAGUCCCCUUAAGUGGCUUGACUGGGUUUGCUCCCCAGUUCAAGUCGCAGGGAAAUCCCCUUUGUUGGGAGAACCUGUGCCUUUCGGUUCGAGCGGGGAUUUCUAGUCUGGGUUGUGGUACGGGUUUAAAGGUGCCUCCCACAGUUGGGGCCCUCCCCAAGAUACCUCGUGGUCAAAACCAAAAAAAAAAAAAAACCAAUUUUAUUUUAAAAAUUAUAAUUUUUUUAUAAUUUUUUUUUAAGUGUGUAGAUGUCUUUUUUGAAAAUUGGUUAUUAAUAAAAAUUUAAAUAAAGGAAUGAGGUAAUGAAGAUAUAUUUAUAAUUUUAUUAAUAAUAUAUAGACAAAUUAGAUAAUCUAAUAAUUUUUUUUAUAUGCUAGAAGGGUAUAAUGAUAAAAUUAUAAUAAAUUGGAGGUGUAAAUGUCUUUUUUGAAAUAUUAGGAAAAUUUUUGUCCCUUUACUUAAACGUUAGAGGUGUGUUUGUCAUUUUCCCAAUAAUUAAUUGUUCAACAUUUAUUUUAUAGAUUCCACUGUUGGGACUCCAUGUGAUCUGCCAACUGGCAGGCCUUAUGUGGUUAGGUGAACCACGGUGUGCCUGCCCCAUAUAAGUUCCUCUCUUCUCAUAGAUAUAACUAUCAACGGCGCUAUGUCAUGUCCAACAAGGGCUCUUCGAAACUUUUUAUGUGAAUUUUAAACAUUACCCCAUUACGCUUUUGAAACACCAAAACUACCUCUCUUAAUUUUUUUUUUUAAAAAAUACAUAUUAAAAGAAUGUUUUAUGUCUUUAGCUUAACAGUUAGCACACGUAUUGUACUCUUGACAUUUUUCUUCUGUAAAUCUUCACUUCUUUUUUCUUUGAUUCUUCACACUUCACUGCUCUUUUAUCUCUAAAAUAUUAAAUUGUCCGUCAAAGCUUACUAUUUAAUUUACUGAUCUAAUUAUUUAGCUCUAAAUAUUUAGAUACGUUUUCUUAAUUAACUAUCACUUCUUUAAUUUUUUUGGUGAUUUCUCUUAGAUGAAAGAAUUAAGGUUAUGUCCUAGGAAAAUAUUAACUCUCAUAUUAUAGUGUUGAUAAUGAGGUUAUCCUUGAAUUUUUAACACAUGAAAACACAUUGAGGUAACUAUAAAUUCAUUGAAGGAAAUAUUUUAAUAAAUUUAGAUUUUGGUACAUAUUAUUUGUUGAAUUUUUUUUCUUUCCAAAUUGAACGCAGCCCUUAUGACAUUCAAUUCGUGAUAGUGCCACUAAAUCUAAAGUGUCGAACUAGAUCAUAUUUCUCCCUUAUGCAAACUCCAUCGUUUAUUUAAAUUUCAAUUUUGUGGCCUAUUUUCGAGUUUUCUAGUUUCACAGAGGGCAUCUUGGAUUUCUCUACGCGGUCUAUAGUCUCUAGUCCAAAUGAAGAAAUCGAAUUCACCAUGUACAUUAGUGUUUUUUUUUUUUGGGGGGGGGGGGGGGGGUUGGAAUUUUUUUAUUGGCACGGGAAGAAAGCUCUUCGGCACUACUCGGAAGAAGAAUAUGAGCAACACAUGGUCCAAUUCGCAUUGUAUGGAAGUAAAACCGAAGCAUUAGACCAAAAGCAAACCUUAUUCAUAUUUUUAGUUACUGAUAACAAUUUUUUUCCCCUCUUAUUAUCAUCUUAAUUAAGAAAUAUAGUAAUUCGUUAACUUUUUGGGAAAUUAAAAAGGAUGGCAAUAUACAAUAUUCUUGUGUUGAUGACCUUAAAAGCUAAUUCCCUUGAAACAGGAAAACUGGUAUCGUUUUUCAAAGCACAUAAAUGAUAUAUCCCAUUGAUCGAAAGAUUUCAUAGCCACACUCAAAAUUAAUAAAUGAUCCCUAAGAAUUACGAAAAUGAUAUAUGUCAUGACCCAACUUAGACCUGGCAAGAUAUUGUCCGUUUUGGGCCUUAACAAGGCCCGCACGGAUUUGUUCUUGGGGCGCCCAUACACCCCAAAACGCGUCUUGCCAAUUAAGGUGUGGAUCACCCUUUAUAAACCCAACAUCUCUCCCGUGCUUUGCCGAUGUGGGAUUCGCCUAGGGUGUUACAUACACCCCCCUUAGGGACUCAGCGUCCUCGCUGAGGUUUGCCCCACCAUCGCUCAAGAGGACACGCGGAGCCGCUCUGAUACCAUAAUGUCAUGACCCAACCCAGACCUGGCAAGAUAUUGUCCGCUUUGGGCCUUAACAAGGCCCGCAUGGAUUUGUUCUUGGGGCGUCCAUACACCCCAAAACGCGUCUUGCCAAUUAAGGUGUGGAUCACCCCUUAUAAACUCAACAUCUCUCCCGUGCUUUGCCGAUGUGGGAUUCGCCUAGGGUGUUACAUACACCCCCCCCUUAGGGACUCAGCGUCCUCGCUGAGGUUUGCCCCACCAUCGCUCAAGAGGACAUGCAGAGCCGCUCUGAUACCAUAAUGUCAUGACCCAACCCAGACCUGACAAGAUAUUGUCCGCUUUGGACCUUAACAAGGCCCGCACGGAUUUGUUCUUGGGGCGCCCAUACACCCCAAAACGCGUCUUGCCAAUUAAGGUGUGGAUCACCCCUUAUAAACCCAACAUCUCUCCCGUGCUUUGCCGAUGUGGGAUUCGCCUAGGGUGUUACAAUAUCAAUGAAAUUACAAACUCUUCAAGAGUUUAUAGAACAUUAAUUGAUCCAAAGCCAAUACAAACUGCUUACUAGUACAACAUCAAGAGAGCCAUUUAUUUUUUCAGUAGGCAAAUUAAACAACUGCAGCAGUCACUAGAGAGCUAGUAUAGACCAAUUGUUCAUCUACCAACCAAUUGUGAAAUUGUUACAUCAUUACUUGAACAUAUUUCCGAUCCAAUCGUGGCUUUAUUUUGUUCGUCUUCAUAAGCUUUGUUUGAGAAAUCGGAGUCCAUUCGAUGAGUCUAUCAGCAUUCUUUAACUAAUUAUUAGAUUAAAUGUAUAAAUUUAAAACUAGUAAAAGUUUAGAAUAUGAAAGAACCUUGAUUCAUUCAAGAAAUAAUUAAAAUUUUAAUCCUUUUCAAACUGGUUAAUAUUAACCUUAUCAUUAUAAGAAAACACAAUUUAAAAGAAAAAAAAAAUCUCACAAAGUUGGUGUGUGGAAUAGUCAAUACGUUGUGUCCUUGAUUUUUUACAAACUCUUAAGAGUCUAUAGAUGUAGUUAGUGAUAUUACAUUACAUUAAUUGAUCCAAAUCCAAUACAAACUGCUUACCAGUACAGCCUCAAGAGAGUAAUUUAUUAUUCAAUUGGCAAAUUAAACAACUGUAGUAGUCACUAGCAGCUUGCCAAGAGCUAGCGUAGAUCAAUUGUUCAUCUACCAACCAAUUGUGAAAUUGUUACAUCAUUACUUGAACAAAUUUCCAAUCCAAUCGUGGCUUUCCUUUGUUCAUCUUCGUAAGCUUGCUUUGAGAAAGUUGCAGGCUUCUUUGGAGUCAUUAUAUCAGCCGUGCUCUCAUUUUCGAGCAUCGAAGAAACUUCCAGCAUAGAAGGUCUAUCGUCUGGGUUCUCCUGAACACACAACAGAGCUAUUUGCAGACAUGUUAGCAAUUUCCACGAGGAAUGCGUAUCAUCUAGUGAUGUAUCCAUUAACCCCAUGCCUUUCCCAUCUUUCCACAGCUCAUAAGCCUGUAAAUAUCGAAUAUUUUAUUGAGUUACAUUCAAUUAAUUAGCACUAUAAAGUUUUGAUCCAGUGUGCAUUAUAAAGGGGGUUAUGAAGAUGUUGGGGAAAAAUCAGGUUUUUAAAUUUAUAUAAAACCUUUUGAAGAUCGCUCUCAUAUAAUAUAUAAGAAUUCGUAUUCUAGAAAUCGUACCUUGUAAAUCUGAGUUUGCUUUUUCCGCUGAAGUGAUUUAGGCUCCUAGAUCACGAUCCGCCACCACCACUCCUGUUAGAUCACGAUCCGUCACCACCACGCUUGUUAGAUCACGAACUGUCUCCAAUGAUCUUCCAGGUUAUGACUCAGGUUCGAUCUGCACUUGACGUGUGGGCGCCUUUAUCACUACCAAAGCAACUAGCACGAGAAAAUUUUUCUCUCAACAAUGGAGAGAAAAAUCUUAUUCUCUGAUUUGUAUAAAGUGGCUUCCCCUCUUCCUUUUUGGGAAAAUAAGCCUUAUAUAUCUCCCUUUAGUGAAAACCCUAGGCUCCAAGGAUUCCCCCAAAAUAAAACUCACGUUACUUUUCAUUUAAUAGGGGACCCACCAUGUAAAAUAACAUAAGGCCCCUUACACAUAAGCUUAUUAAAUGGAGCCUCCCACUAAAUGAUAUAUUUAGGCUUUUGACCCAAAUAGCUAGUUAUCUUGCUUAUUAGUCCAGCAGUGGUGCAAUCAAUUAAAUGAGCUAACCCGGGGAUCAUUUGGGAACAUACAAUAGUGGCUACAAUAAUUAGGCAUGUAAUUAAACUAGCCCAAUUAUUUAAUUCCAAAUCUACUCCACUAAAAGAUUGGAACUGACUUCCAUAAUUGUAUGCUCGAAUAAUAAUUCGUCCCAAGCCACAUUGAUUUCUUUACUGCACAAUCCUUUGUACCACAUCGUUAAUUAAAUUGAUAUCUCAACUGUCCAAUCAAUUUAAUAACAUCUUAUUCCUUGAUCCUUACUGGUUUUCUCUAAUGAUCAUUUUCAACAUACUAAAUAUGUUGACACACUCUGGCCAGAGAAUUCUAUGAUCAAGUACCGAAAACCUAUCAAGAGAUGUGUUGUACAAAUUCUAUAUUGUUAAUCCAUAACUCCAAUACUCAUAAUUGCUCCCACCAAGAUACCGGGUAAUCUUGACCACAAGGAUGUGUCGUGCCCAUUGGUAACUCAAAUGAAAUAACAAUCACAAUCAUGAAAUCAUAAUUAACUCAAGAUUAAGAUUACAGUAAAAUCAACGCCUAUGAGAUUUAAUAAGUCUGACAGUUAUUACAAAGUUAAUUAAAUCUCAUAUGUGAUCCUGUUCAAUGUAGUCGUACUACAUCAAUAAAUUCAUACAUGAUUAAGACAAAUCAUUCAAUGAAUUUAUUACAGUCUAUACCUAAAUAAAGUGCCCAACUUUAUUUAUCAACUGCGAACUAAAUUUAUUUAAUCAUAAGAUAACUUGUAUUUAUGUCUUCUGUGAAUCCACAUGGUGAUCACAUAAAUACAUAUAAUAUGAUUAAAUGGACUUUAAUACAAAUAUUAAUGCAAUUAAGAUAUUUGAAUAAAAUACCUCAUUUAUUUUAUUAAUCAGAAAAAUUGUUUAUUACAAUUAAAUAAACACAUAUGCUUUUAAAGAGCAUAUUUUCCCAACAAUCUCCCACUAGCUCUCAAAGCAUAUCUGGCAUAUUGCACAUGCUCUAGGGCUCUAAGUGCAGGUUAUAAAGGUUUCCCACUAAUGGCCAUUGUAAUAAGAUCUGCCAUUUAGCAUCUAAUGCCAUUUGGGGUACUGUCAUAUAACCUUUCUACACUAUUCCCUUAUAAGAUGAUACUUCCUUUCAAUAUGUUUUGUUUCUUGUGGUUCCUUGGUUCCUUAGAUUGAGCUACCGCACCACCAUUAUCACAAAAUAGUUUAAGGGGUGCAGUUACAACAGGUACCACCUCAAGAUUUCGUAGGAACUUGCAGAGCCAUAUAGCUUCUUUUGCAGCUUCAGAUGUAGCCACAUAUUCAGCUUUAGUUGUUGAGUCUGUGAUACAAGAUUGUUUCACUCUCAUCCAACUAGUAGCUCCACUUCCCAAUGUAAACACAUAGCCGGAAGUUGAUUUUCUAAAAUCCUUAUCUGACAAAAAAUCAGAAUUAUUAUAACCCACUAGAAUAAGUUCAUCACCAGAAUACACAAGCAUAUAAUUUUAAGUUCUUUUCAGAUACUUCAUUAUAUGCUUGACCGCAGUCCAGUGUUCAGGUCCAGGAUUAGAUUGAUAUCUACUAACCAUCCCUCCCGCAAAACAGAUGUCUGGCCUAGUGCAAAGCAUGGCAUUCAUGAGACUUCCCACAGCUUCUGCAUAGGGAACUCGUCUCAUUCUCUCUAUCUCUUCAGAUGUUUUAGGUGAUUGAUCCUUAGAGAAUGUAAUUCCAUGUCUGAAUGGUAAUAAACCAGUCUUGGAAUUUUCCAUACUAAAUCUAGCCAAUAUCUUAUCGAUAUAGACCGCUUGAGACAAGGCUAAAGUUUUAUUCUUCCGGUCUCAUAGUAACUUGAUACCAAGAAUAUAACUUGUCUCUCCCAGGUCUUUCAUAUCAAAUUGUUUUGCUAACCAAAUCUUUAUUGUAGUCAAUACUCCUAUAUCGUUUCCAAUCAGGAGAAUAUUGUCUACACAAAGAACUAGGAAGGCUACAAAUUUUCCCUGAAUUUUCUUGUACACACAUGGUUCAUCAAUGUUCUGAAUGAAUCCAAGUGAUUUAAUCGCUUGAUCAAAUCUGAUGUUCCAUGACUGGGAUGCUUGCUUCAAUCCAUAAAUAGAUCUCUGCAACUUACAUACCAUGUGUUCUUGGCCUUUUUUGUAUAAAUCCAUCUGGUUGCUGUAUGUAGAUGUUUUCUUCAAGAUGCCUGUUAAGAAAGGCAGUCUUGACAUCCAUUUGCCAAAUUUCAUAAUCUAGCACUGCAGCAAUGGAGAGCAGAAUCCUGAUGGAUUUAAGCAUAGCAACCGGAGAAAAGGUUUCCUCAUAAUUGAUUCCUUCUUUCUGAGUAAACCCUUCGGCUACUAAUCUUGCUUUAAAUGUUUCCACCCUUCCGUCUACUCCUCUUUUUCUCUUGUAGAUCCACUUGCACCCUAUAGGUUUUACCCCAUUUGGUGCCUCUACAAGUUCCCAGACUUUAUUGGAAUACAUAGAUUCCAUUUCUUGAUUCAUGGCCUUUUUCAAAAUUCAUCAUCUCUAUCUAUUAGAGCUUCGUUGUAACUAGUGGGAUCUUGUACAUGUUCAUCUGAGAUAGCCUUAUAGGUUUCUCCCAAAAACAUGUAUCUUGCAGGUAACCUAGUUACCCUCCCACUACGACGAGGUUCUAAAAGUGAUGAUUGUUCAAGGAUAAUCCUGUGCUGAUCAGCUGGUUGUUGCUGUUCUUCCUGUUCUAUAACAGGUGUUGAAAGCUGAGCAUCAACCUGAUCUCUUUUAUUUCUCUAGUUUUACCUUACUCUUAGGUUAUAAGUCAUUAUAUAGUCUUCCUCAAAGAAAGUAAAAAAUAUUUCUAUAAAUACAUUCCUAUCUUGAGGACUAUAAUUCAGACUUUCCCUUAUUCCUUUAAGAUACCUAAAACAUGCAAGCUUCUGAACACGAAUCCAUCUUCUCUAUCUCUGAUUCUAGUAGAAAUACUAGUAAACUCCAAAUACGAAUGUGUCUCAAACCAUGUUUGUGACUUUUUCAUAAUUUCUUGGAGUAGUGGACACCGAGAUAGAUGAAACUAAGUUCAAUAAACUUUGUAGUUUCAAAUACUAGUAUCUGGAAUCAAAAAGGUAAAUGAUAAACCACUUAGUAUAUAUCUUGUCUUAUCCAAAAGAAUCUUGUUUCUCCAUUUAAUUACACUAUUGUAUCAUAGUGUUCAUUGACAACCAAAUAGUGCUUGAAUUCUCCAUAGAGAUAUUCUUUGUUUCGAUCAUAUCGAAAUUCUUUUAUGUUCCUGUCUAAUUGCUUCUGUCUUAUUCACGUACUCUUUUGAAUUUCAAAAGCAAUGGAAUCAUGACUCAUUUAGACAAACAUAAAAUGAAUAUUCAUCAACUAGAUUGAUAGAAUACUCAUAACCUCUUAUAACAUGUAAACUGAUUAGUCCGUAUACAUUUGUAUGCGCUAAAUCAUCAAAUACAAUGUUAUGCUUUUAGCUCAUAAAGAGUAUCCUUGUCAUAUUACUUUUCUAAAUAAGAUUUAUAGAGUUACAAUGAUCAAUCUUAAUAGGCCAACAAGUCUAUCAUUAAUCAUUUUCUUAAAAUCUUAUUAUAGUUUAUAUGACUUAAGCAUAACUAUCAGAGGUGAUUUUUGGUUAGAAGAAACAUUUCUUUUCUUAGAUAAAUGCAUAUACUUUUAAUCAUUAUAUCUUACUUUGAAUAGAUCAAUGUACUUUUAUGAUAUAAAUUGUCUUUAUAAAUAACCAAAAUAAGUAAUAAACAGAGGAUCCAAAAAUAACAGUGUACUCCUGUUUAUUAAAACAAGCCACUGAAAUUAAAUUCCUCUAAUAUUUGGAAAAAUAAAGACAAAUAUCAAAACUAAAGUCUUGUAAAAUUGAUCUAGUCUUUCAAUUGAUAUAAACUAGCACAUCCUCAACUGCUAUUUGAAGCUUUCUUCACUUAAUCUCUUGGUUUCCUGAAAACCAAAUAAAUGAAUUACAAAUAAGAUUAGUUAUCUCAGAAUUCAUUAUUGUAUGAAUCAAUAGAAAUCUGAACUAAUUAGGAAGCUUAAAGAUUUCCUAUACCUGAUUUUAAUAAUCUUAGGACAAUCUUUCUUCCAGUGACCCUUCUGUCCACAUUUGUAACACUUGCCUUUUGGCUUGCCACUUCUUUUAAUGGACAGUUUGCCGAUCCCAACUCUUGCUUGCUCAUUCUUGUCUUUUGACUUAAGCCUUGAAGAGAAUCCUUUUUCAGGAAGUUUUCUGCUAUGAUAAAAUUCUUCUAUAGCAUUAAUUCAAUUAAGGUCAUAUCUUUAUUGUUUAAGAUAUAGCUGACCUUAAACUCUUUGAAUGUAUCAGGUAAAGAUUCAGUAAAGAUUCAAUCACCAUGUUAAUCUUUGAUUUAUCAUUGAUUUGAACACCAUGAAUCUCUACCUCAUUCAAAUAGUCCAUCAUUACGAACUUUUGUGCCCUCUUCCAUCUGAGUAUCCGUAAUACGUUUCAAUGCUGCUUCUCUGGCAAAAUGGGUAUUUUUUCCAAACAUCUGAUGAAGACUAGCCAUUAUUUCAGUAGCUGUUUCCAUGCUCCGAUGUUUCUUAUGCAGUUCCACAGAAAUCGAAGCCAAUAUAUAGCGCUUAGCCAUUUUGUUAGCUUCGCACCAUUUCUCAUAAGGCUCCCUCUGAUUUCUAUAAUCGUAUAACGAUGGUUCAGGAGGGCAAGGCUGGGUCAACACAUAUUUGCUUCCCUUAGCAGUGAGAAUAUUAAAUAGAUUGCGUUUCCAAUCUAAAUAAUUUUCGCCAGUGAGUUCAUUUUUAACAAGGAUAAAUAAUAAUGGGUUGAUGGAAGACAUUUUCUGAAAAAACAAAAUACACAUGCAUAAAUACUUUGAAACAAUAUUCACAAUAAAUGACAAAAAUGCAAAAAACCAUAAAUGCAUUUUAAUUUAUUGUAACGAUAAUCUAGUACCGCUUUGACAAGCUAUCCGUUGGGGAAGUCAUGUCUACACUUACUAGACCCAAUUAUCCAUUGGAUUAUUUACUUUCAUGUAGAGACAUGAUAAAUAAUUAUCGUUAUCCCUUUGGACCUAAAUUUGUUAACAGAGCUUCGUUGGGAAGGUUAAUAACAAACUUUAGUUGAGUGUAUAACCAUUGUUUCAAUCUACGUAUUUUUCAUAUCAAUAGUCACCGUUGGGGUGAACAAUCGAUUGAAAAAUAUUUCAAUUUUAUCUUUGAAGAAGUUCAUCAAAUAAAAUAUCUAAUAUAUAUACCCUCCGAAGGGAGCAUCACCGUAUCAUGAAGUCGAGGUAUAUAUAUAAUUUUAUUAUUGAACUAACAAUGGAGCCCGUGGGAAAAUUAUCUUGAAUUUUCCCUCUCCCACUCAAUAUUUUAAAAUUGGUUUUUCCUUUUUAAAACAUACAUAUUGUUAAUUGCAUGCUUCCUAUAAUAUCAUCUAGAUGAUAUCAAAUAUUAUUAAGCAUAUACAAAUUUCAAACAAUAUAAUGAAAUUCAUUAUUAAUGAAUGACAUGUAUCAUUAUGCAUAGAGUGGCACUACCUAUUCUAUAUGACAUGUUAUCAUGGCAUGUUAUCAUCCAAAACAUAACAUAUAGAAAAACUAUUAAAUAAUCUUAAUUCAUGGCUUUCCUAAUAAUGAAAAAUACAUUAACCCUAAGCCUAAUCUUCAUUGGGCUUCUUGUCAAUGUCCAUCUUCCAUAAGCUUGUUUUUGUUAAUGGACUAGGGGAAAUUGGGCUUUUAAAUUUAUAAUUGGUCCAAUUUUUAAUUUUAAAAAGAAAUAAAUAAAUAAAUAAAUAAUUUUAUUAAAAUAAAACUUUUGGACCAAAAAUAGAUUUAAUGUGUUCAAUUUUAUCUAUGCAUUAUAAUCCAUUAAACCCAAUUGAAAUUGGGCCUAAAGCUAGGAUUCACAAAGCCCAAAACUGUUUUUGGACUUAAAUGCAAAAAACUUAAACGUGUCUACCCAAAAGAAAAAAUUAUGGAGCCAUAGGGACCUCAAUGAUAAAAACCAUGAAACCCUAAAUCCAUAUUUUUCUUUCUCUCUUCCCCAGCCGCCAUCUCCAAAAACCUCCACCACUGUUCAGAUGCCAGCCGACCUCCGACGCAUCUCCGACAUCGAACCACCUGCCACCGCGUCGCCGGAAACGCAUCAAACUCGCGCGCGCUGCUGGCCACGCUGGCCCCGCGCGCUGUUUGCUGCGCGAGCAGCCUGUGCCAUCGCGUGCUGCGCGCACAAGCCACGCUUCCCGCGCGCGCUGGCUGCUGCGCGCUGCUGCUGCGUGCACGCUUGCGUUGCAGCGCGCGCUGCUGGCAGCAUGUGCUGCUGGCCGCGCGCUGCUCGCGCAGCAGCGUGUGCUGCUGGCCCCUCGUUGCUGAAAUUUCCGGCCUCGAUUGUUUGCGCUCGUUUUCCAGUGAUGAUGCUUCGGUGAUUUACAAAUUUUCAACGCAAAUUUUGGCUUACAAAAUUUCAAUUACAGUAAAAUAAAUCAAGAGGGAAUUAUGGUGAUAAAAAACCACCCCUCUUGUUACAGAUCCAAAGAAAAAAUACAUCGGAAAAUCUAACCAUGAAUUAAGACAAACCAUAACAUGCUUUAUUCAUAUAUUAAACAAAUAAUAUAUAUCUGAAUAAAUUGUGCCACUCUAAUACAUAAAUUUCAAGAAUGAUUUCAUACAAUAUUCUUAUAUAUUAAUAUGAGAUGGCUCUGAUACCAAUUGUUGGGGAAAAAUCAGGUUUUUAAAUUUAUAUAAAACCUUUUGAAGAUCGCUCUCAUAUAAUAUAUAAGAAUUCGUAUUCUAGAAAUCGUACCUUGUAAAUCUGAGUUUGCUUUUUCCGCUGAAGUGAUUUAGGCUCCUAGAUCACGAUCCGCCACCACCACUCCUGUUAGAUCACGAUCCGUCACCACCACGCUUGUUAGAUCACGAACUGUCUCCAAUGAUCUUCCAGGUUAUGACUCAGGUUCGAUCUGCACUUGACGUGUGGGCGCCUUUAUCACUACCAAAGCAACUAGCACGAGAAAAUUUUUCUCUCAACAAUGGAGAGAAAAAUCUUAUUCUCUGAUUUGUAUAAAGUGGCUUCCCCUCUUCCUUUUUGGGAAAAUAAGCCUUAUAUAUCUCCCUUUAGUGAAAACCCUAGGCUCCAAGGAUUCCCCCAAAAUAAAACUCACGUUACUUUUCAUUUAAUAGGGGACCCACCAUGUAAAAUAACAUAAGGCCCCUUACACAUAAGCUUAUUAAAUGGAGCCUCCCACUAAAUGAUAUAUUUAGGCUUUUGACCCAAAUAGCUAGUUAUCUUGCUUAUUAGUCCAGCAGUGGUGCAAUCAAUUAAAUGAGCUAACCCGGGGAUCAUUUGGGAACAUACAAUAGUGGCUACAAUAAUUAGGCAUGUAAUUAAACUAGCCCAAUUAUUUAAUUCCAAAUCUACUCCACUAAAAGAUUGGAACUGACUUCCAUAAUUGUAUGCUCGAAUAAUAAUUCGUCCCAAGCCACAUUGAUUUCUUUACUGCACAAUCCUUUGUACCACAUCGUUAAUUAAAUUGAUAUCUCAACUGUCCAAUCAAUUUAAUAACAUCUUAUUCCUUGAUCCUUACUGGUUUUCUCUAAUGAUCAUUUUCAACAUACUAAAUAUGUUGACACACUCUGGCCAGAGAAUUCUAUGAUCAAGUACCGAAAACCUAUCAAGAGAUGUGUUGUACAAAUUCUAUAUUGUUAAUCCAUAACUCCAAUACUCAUAAUUGCUCCCACCAAGAUACCGGGUAAUCUUGACCACAAGGAUGUGUCGUGCCCAUUGGUAACUCAAAUGAAAUAACAAUCACAAUCAUGAAAUCAUAAUUAACUCAAGAUUAAGAUUACAGUAAAAUCAACGCCUAUGAGAUUUAAUAAGUCUGACAGUUAUUACAAAGUUAAUUAAAUCUCAUAUGUGAUCCUGUUCAAUGUAGUCGUACUACAUCAAUAAAUUCAUACAUGAUUAAGACAAAUCAUUCAAUGAAUUUAUUACAGUCUAUACCUAAAUAAAGUGCCCAACUUUAUUUAUCAACUGCGAACUAAAUUUAUUUAAUCAUAAGAUAACUUGUAUUUAUGUCUUCUGUGAAUCCACAUGGUGAUCACAUAAAUACAUAUAAUAUGAUUAAAUGGACUUUAAUACAAAUAUUAAUGCAAUUAAGAUAUUUGAAUAAAAUACCUCAUUUAUUUUAUUAAUCAGAAAAAUUGUUUAUUACAAUUAAAUAAACACAUAUGCUUUUAAAGAGCAUAUUUUCCCAACAUAAGAAACUUACAUACUGUACAAGGCUUAAAUUUUCAUUCUGGCCAGAUUGAACGAACAAUCUUCUUCCACUUAUAAUUUGCAAAAGUAAAACCCCAAAACUGUAGACAUCGGAUUUGGUGGAGUAGAUGCCUCUCGUAACAUACUCAGGAGGGAUAUAGCCACUGUUGUACCAAGUAAUUACAAAUGUCAGUGAAAUUGUCUGACGUAAAAGGUUAAGCUGAUUGGUAAAGGCUCAACAAUAGCAUUAAAGAUAAGUCGAAAAAUAGACGUAUGUACACUUACUGUGUUCCAACAAUUCGACUGGUGUUUGCUUCAAGGUCGUCUUUCACAAAAAUUCUAGCUAAGCCAAAAUCUGAUAUUUUAGGCUUCAUAUCUUCAUCCAAUAAAACGUUACUAGCUUUCAAAUCUCGAUGAAUAAUUGUUAAUCUAGAAUAUUCUUGAAGAUAGAGAAGCCCUUGAGUUAUUCCUUGAAUGAUAUGAAUGCGUUUUUUCCAAUCUAAAAUAAACCUUCGGAUGGGAUCUACAUCAAAUAUAAGUAUAGUUGGACGGUCGGUAGCAUUAGCAUUUGGAGAUGAGAAAGCAAAUGGAGGCACAUAAAUUAAAAAUUAAGCAAUUAAGCUCAUACCAAAAAGGAAAUAGUCCAAGCUUCGUCUUGGCAUGUACUCAUAGAUCAGCAUUUGUUCUUCUCUGUCAAUGCAAAAACCUAAAACCCUAAUAAGAUUUACAUGUUGGAGUUUUGCAGUAAGCAUAACCUCAUUCUUGAACUCCUCAAAUCCUUGUUUGGAUGUCUUUGAGAGUUUCUUCACUGCUAUUACCUGUCCAUCAAGUAAUACACCCUGCAAACACCCCCAAAACAUUAAAAAGAAAAAAAAAAGGCAAUGUUCAUAUACAUGUGUGUGUGUGUGUGUAUUUCGCUAAUUAAUUAAUAAGAUGAGAGAUAGCCAAGCUAUCGAUAUAUAACCUUGUAAACAGGGCCAUAUCCACCCUCCCCGAGCUUAUUUUCAAUUGAAAAUCUAUCCGUGGCCACCUCAAUAUCAGCCAAGCUAUAUUCUCUAAGAUCAGGAUCAUUGCUGUUAAAAUCUCCAGCAUGUACUUGACUAUUUUCUCCGUCCUUUGAUGAUUUGGCUGAGUCAAUUACUAUCCCAAUUAAUAUCAACCAAGGAAAAAAAAGAAAAAGAAAAAGAAAAAAGCUAAUUUAAGUAAAUUGCCCACUUCUUCAACUGUGCUAAAUAGAAUAGAAGUAAAAAUAAUCCUAAACCCGCGUAGAAGAAGUUACCUUUUAAUUUGAGGUUUUUCAUCAAGCAGUAGUAAUACAGCCAAAAACCUAGUAGAAGAAUACAAGCUGCAGUUGUAGGCAAAACAACUACCCAUAACAAUCGCUUAUUUUGACCACUCUUGUCAUCCUCUUCAGCUGAAGAGUCAAUCACUUUGCGUUGGUUAACCAUUGAUGCUGAAAUAAAGAUCUUAAUUCAAGUCAUUAUCCAGAAAAGUGAUCAACGGAUUGCAGUGAGUGCGGAAUUCCAUUUGCUUACCUGCAGCUUGAGAAAGCAUCCAAUCAUGAUCAUAGGAAACUAGCCACACAUGGUAACCGCGUAGCUUCUUCUCCUUGGCAUAUGCAACCUUCACUCUAAUGGCCUCCACAUCAUCAAAACCAAACCAAAUCUUCCCAAUCGAGCAGUAGUUCACCACAUAAGUUGAAUUGUACAAAACAUGGACAUUAGGACCAUAGCUCUUGAUGUGAUUCUUGAUUUCUCUAUAACUCACAAGACCAUCUUCACUCAAAGCUGGUCCCGUUGCUGCUGCACCAAUACCAUUGUCCUCAGGUUUCACAAGCGUCCAUGCAUAGCCAUAGAAAGGCAAACAUAAAACCAAUUUAUCAGCCGAUAACCCUUCCUCAAUCCAUUCCGUGAUUCCGUAUUCAGUAUUAGAGUCACUAUUUGGAUCAUACAGAGCCGCAUGAGCACCAGUAAAAUUUGUCCACGUAGGGGCUGAGUAAUCAGUAGUGAAAACAUGGACCCAAUUCAAGUACUGUCUUAUAAAGUCGACUGGAUAAGUUGCUUCUGUUAAGAAUGGUGAAUAUGAAACCGUUGCCGUCAAAAUCAACUGUGAUUGGCUCGAGUUAUUUCUUGCUUCUAAAUCUACGGCAGCUCGCCACUCUUUAAAGAGAAUGGCAAUAUUGUAAUUAUCCCAGCUUGUGUUUGCCUGAGACCAAGACAGAUCUAAGCCUUGAAAGCCAUAAAGCCUUGCUAUUUUUAUUGAGGAGUCAAUGAAGGAUUUCCUGGAAGAAGGAUUGCUUGCCAUGGAAGAAUAAGUUGAAUAGCUUACAUCAUUUCCUCCUCCGAUGGAAAGAAGUGUAGUGAUCGAUGGGUUCUUUAUUUUGACUGUGUGCGUGGAGUUGGAGAAUUGUUUUUCAUCCGAAGGUAAUAAAGAAAGCUCAUAGGAAGUUGAGUUGACAUCAGCAAAACCACACAUAAGGUGAGUGAAGAGAGCAGAAUUUACAUCUGAAACAGGGAACCCACCGCCUGAAUCCCAGUAACCAGCUCUGAUUAAAGUUUGUGCUCUUGCAGGAAGCGAUUCUGAAAAUAUAAAAAUGUGGAGGACAAGAAUGAUAAUUUUGGAUGCCAUUGUGGGAACCUGGCUGCUUGAGGCAUACCUAGUAUGUGAUUAUAUAUUUGUGUACACACACAAAAUGUAAUGGAGAAAUUAUCCUUUACCGAUUGAGAUUAGUUAUUGCACUAAUAAUGAUGCAAACUUGAGUCAACUUUCAACUUAUGAGCUUAGUCCAUAAGUUUUUAUACGAUAUCAAAUUCAAGUUAUGAAUGAGGGACCCUAUAAUACCUUCCAACCUAACUUAAUAAUUAAUCUUAGCCAAUGUGACAUACUUGUUCUAUCACUUUAUCACGACCCAGUCGAUCUUUUAGCUUUGUCUUUUUUCAUGAUAAUAAGUGAUAAGAUUGAAGUUCUUAAAUUAAGCUAUGACUUUUGACCUCCACUUAGCUUGACUUCUGAAGUUGGAGACUCGUUCUUUUGUAUUGACUUUGUUGGUAUUUAAAUGAACUCGGAGUCCUCUACGAGUUUUUGAAGCGAAGUCAUUAUUCCUCUAUGACUCCAUCCAUGCAAUUGGAAGGCAAAAUCUUGUGAAAAUAUUUUCUAAGUUGAUUCAGUCCAUGAUCAACGUGCACAAAACGCAAAAUCUUGCGAAAAUCAAACCCGUCCUCACUCAUGAGCUCGAUUUCUAACUUAAACUCCUCCUCACUCAUGACAUACUAUAUAAAAUAUCGAGUUGACCUCACUUUAUUAAAUUACAGCUUGUCAUUGAAUUGAGUGUUGCCUUAAUUAAUCCAUCAACUUAAUAAAGUGAUGGUCAUUAAGAAAUACACUUAGUUACUUCCUGAUGGUAAGAUUCAAUAAUAUUGUAAUUUAAAAAAAAAAUCCAUAUACCUUUUCCUUGGGUAAUUUAAUUUCCAGUCCAGUCCACCCUCCCAUUUUAUCAUAAAAGUCUACACAAACAUACGUUUUACUCAAUGUUUACUUAGAAACAAAUGGCGCGCGUACGAUUGCCGAUCUAGUACCACUCUCGUAUGCUUGGUGGGAUUCGGCUUCACCAAAUUUGUAGCAUAUAUUUUACUUCAAUGAGAAAAUCAAAUAAUUAUUGAACAAAUAAUUUUUUUUUUCAAUAUACUUUCUUAAAAUGUAUGGAGUUGGUAAAGUGCAAAUUCAUUUUUUAGCCCUUUGACUCCUCCAAAAUCAAAACUCAAAUUAAUGGUCAGUUAAAUAAUGUUACUUGAAAAUCAUUUCCUAGCUAGAAUUUGUUUAAUUCUAUUAAUUUACAAUCGUUUUUCAUUUUACUUAAUUAAUUAAAGUGAAUUUAUUAUGUAUACAUUCUACAUACAUAAAAUUUUAAUAUUCAGUGUUGAAUUGAAUUGUACUAAAUUUUUUAUAAUUUUUUGUCAGACCUGCGUUUUUAACAGUUUAAUAUUAAUAUUAAUAGCACAUAAUAUACAGGAUUAAGAGAGAUUGAUUUCGACUGCUAGCUACAAGAGUUUUAGGAUUGCAUGCACAAGGGUUUAAAAACAAAGUGUACACUUAAUUACUCUAAACGAGGGUGCAUUUUUAUGAUGAAAUAAAAACUAUGUACAGGGUUGUAAAAUUGGUUCCAUAAUUAGUGUACAUUAACAUUCAUCUAGCUACCACCUCCGAAAAUGAUACAUCAUAAGCCGAGCAUUUUUCCAAAUUUGUUGUGGAUAAUAGUUCAAUCCCAAUUUCAUCCACUUGUUUUGAGAAAGCAGGCUUCUUGGGAGUAUUUGUAUUUGUGGUUUCAUUCUUGAGCAUUGAGGAAACUUCCAGCAUUGAAGGUCUAUCGUUUGGAUUCUCCUGGACACACAACAAAGCUAUUUCCAGACAUCUCAUUAAUUUACAAGAGGAAUUUCUAUCAUCUAGGAAUGAAUCCACAAACUCCAUGCCUUUGCCACCUUUCCACAACUCAUAUGCCUGAAAUUAUCAAGUACCAUCUUGUUACAUAAUUUAUACUUCUUAAUUAAGUGCGCAUAUGUGUACUCAGGGUUACUAUAGCCGAAGAAACUUACGUGCUCCAGAAUGCUUAAAUUUUCAUUGAUGCCACAUAACAUUGAAAGCCUCUUUCCACUUAUGAUUUGUAGAAGUAAAACUCCGAAACUAAAAACGUCUGAUUUGGUAGAGUAUACACCUUGUCUGGCGUACUCAGGAGGAAUAUAGCCUCUGCAUUCAAAAUAACCAAGUAUAUAUGAGUAAGGGAUUUUGCAAUUUAAUAAAUUUGUAAAACCCAUUUUAAAUUGUGGUAAAAGUCCAUUCUGCAUUUUAUUAAAGUGCUGAAUUCCUUAUUCGAAACCCAAUAUAUGUAUAACAAACAGAAGCUUGAGUAAAGGAUAUCAUUGAGAUGUAAUAUACUUACAUUGUUCCCACAACUUGUUCUGUAUUCGCUUUGAGACUCUCUUUUGCAAAAAUCCUAGCCAAACCAAAAUCUGAAAUUUUAGGUUUCAUAUCUUCACCUAACAAAAUAUUACUGGCUUUCAAGUCUCGAUGAAUAAUAGUCAGUCUUGAAUAUUCCUGGAGGUAUAAAAGGCCUUGAGUUAUCCCUUCAAUGAUAUGAACACGUUUUUUCCAAUCCAAAAUAAGUCUUCUGAUGGGAUCUACAACAAAUAUAUAGUUUUGGACAAUAAGUGAUAUGCAAAUGAAUUUUAUACACGAUUAAUAUUAACUUGAUUUCAGAACAAACCAAAAAGGUAGCAAUCCAAGCUUUUGUUUGGCAUGUAUUCGUAGACCAGCAUCCGUUCCUCACUGUCAAUGCAAAAACCUAAAACUCUAAUAAGAUUUACAUGUUGGAGUUUUGCAGUAAGCAUAACCUCAUUCUUAAACUCCUCAAAUCCCUGUGCGGAUGAUUUCGAAAGUUUCUUCACUGCUAUCACCUCUCCACAGGGUAAUACACCCUGCAACCCCAAAAAAACCACGUUCAUAUAAAGCUUUCACUAAUUAGAGAAGCUGAGAAAUGUUAGCCAAACAAUAUGCUACCCCCCAAAGUUGAGGCCACCAUUUUAAGUCCUUUAAGUCCCCAUGGACGCAAAAUGUAAAUCUCCUCUCACAGAAUAUGGAUAUGGGUAGAGGUAUCUUCCUAAAAUGUUAGUCGAAGUAGUUAUAUCCCUCUAGUGUGAGGUUAGAGGUCUCAUCUCUAAUAGGCAUAGAUUUUUAAAUUAUAUGUUUUGGGCCUCUGAAUUCUACGACGAGUGUACAAAUUCAAACUUCCGAUAGGAUCCAAAUUGCAACAUUGUAGAUUGUAACAAAUUAAAAUAUAGGUACACACACACACACACACAUAUGUUACCUUGUAAACAGGACCAUAUCCACCCUCCCCAAGCUUAUUUCUAAUUGAAAAUCCCUCGGUGGCCGCCUCAAUAUCAGCCAAACUAUAUACUCUGAGAUUAGGAACAUUUCUGUUAAAGUCUCCAGCUUCUGUUUCAUUAUUUGCUGUCGUGUUUGAUGCUUUAGCAGAAUCCUCUGUUCCUAACAUCAACCAAGAGUACAUAUUAGAUAAAUAAUUGUAUGUCAGCCUCAGAUUUAUGUGUAUAUAUAUGAAUGAAAUUCAUGCUUAAUUAUAAUUGAUAUCUGAAACUUGUUACCUUCUCUUAAAUUGAGCCUUUUCAUCUGGUUGUAUUUAUACGCACAACAGCCUAGAAGGAGAGUCAAAGCUGCCGCUGCAGUAGAAAUGAGUGCAAUGGACAGAUGGCGGUUAUUACUAUAUUCAUCUUUGUCAGCUGAAGCAGAAGUAAUCCUCUCUUUUUGUGCUGGAAAUAUGUAUAGUUCACCAAUUAAUAAUAACUAGCUAGAGAUGCCAUAACAAUCAUUAUUAAUCAGAGAGAACAAUUAUUGCAUAGAUAAAUACCUGCAGCCUGAGAAAGCACCCAAUUAUGAUCAUCAUAAUCAACUCGCCACACAAAGUAACCACGUAACUUCUUCUCCUUAGCAUAUGCAACCUUCAUUCUAACGGCCUCGACAUCAUCAAAACCAAACCAAAUCUUCUCAAUCGAGCAGUAAUUGACCUCAUAAGUUGAAUUGUACAUAACUUGGACAUCAGGACCAUAGGUCUUGAUGUGAUUAUUGAUUUCCUUAUAAGUCACAAGGCCGCUAUCAUGCAAAGCUGGUCCUGCUGCUGCUGCACCAAUUCCAUUGUCUUCAGGUUUCACAAGCCUCCAUGCAUAGCCAUAGAAAGGCAAACACAUAACCAACUUAUCUGCCGGUAAUCCUCUCUCAAUCCAAGCCUUUAAAACCUGAUCGGUACUUCUAGCAAAGCCGCCGCUACUUGAGCCAUAGAGAGCCGCAGGCGGUGCCGUGAAGUUUGUUGACACAGGCUCGUAGUAGCUAGCAGUAACCGCAUGAACCCAAUUCAAGUUUCGUUGUCUCGAAUUCAAAAGAUAUGAAUUCGCUGGUGGUGAAUAAUGAAAUCUUGCGGUCAAGAUCAGCUGGGAUUGCUGGCGACUAGAGUUUUUUGCCUCUAAUUUUGUAGCAGCAAUUCGCCACUCGUCAAAAAGUAAACCAAUAUUGAACAAAUCGGUGCUUGUGUUUGGAGCUGUCCAAGCAAAGUCUAGGCCCUGAAAGCCAUAAAGCCUAGCUAUUCUUAUUGAACAGUCGAUGAAAGAUUUUCUGUGAGAAGAAUUACUCACCAUUGAAGAAUAAAUAGAAUAGUUUGUAUCCAUUCCUUGUCCAAUGGAGAGAAGUAUAGUGAUUGAUGGGUUCUCUUUUUUCAGUGUCUACGAAUUUGGCGAUUUGAUUUUCAUCGGAUGGUAAUGAUAAAGAUAGCUGGUAAGUGGUGGAAUUGAUAUCAGCGUAAGAGCAAAUAAGGUGAGUGAAGAGAUCAUAAUUUAUGCCCGAAAUGGUGGACACUUCGCUUGAAUCCAAGUAACCGACCCUGAUCCACGGUUUUGCUUUCGCGGGAUGAAAUUCUGAAUAGAAUAACAUGUGGAAGAUGAUGCUGAUAAUUAUGGAUGCCAUUUGAGACUUUGUUAGGAAUGGAAAUGGAUCCACACAAGAGAAAUUAAAUAAACACUAGUUUCACAGACCAUUUAAGUUCUUAUGUAAACUAUUAACUUAUAAGUUCAUUUCGUUCCAAAAAAAUCUUAUGUGCUCCGGAUAGGGACACAUACAUUGCAUGUUAAGAUGAUGAUAGGCGAUGCGACCAUUGCCUGAGAACUAAGAUUUUCUUCCAUCGCUUGGGUGACCUUUCACGAAGAAAGAUGAUGUUUUGAUUUACAUUUGGUUAAAUUGAUGACAAAUUUCGGGCUAUAAAUAUCACUCUUGUUUUAUUAAAUAAUUAAAAAAAUUAAUUUUACAUGUACGUUGAAAGUUAAUAUUGCAAUCACCAACAAGUGCGUAGAUCAACUGGCAAGGGGUUGUUCUAUCUUAACCAAGGUUCUCGGUUCGAGACUUGAGAAUGCAGUUGCGUUAAAUACUUGUUGGGAGAGUUUUGUCAUUCUAAUGGUCUUACACGGCUCGAAUCUGAAUUAGAGUUUUGCCACCCUAAUGGUCCUACACGGCUCGAAUCUGAAUUAGUCAAGACCCACUGAAUUAGAGUUUUGCCACCUUAAUAGUUCUACACGGCUCGAAUCUGAAUUAGUCGAGACCCAAUGAUACCAAAUGGCUUAAUAUACCAAAAAAAAAGUUAAUAUUGCAGUCUUUUGAGAUUGUGUUGACGUUUAUUCGGUUCGUUUAUUAUAUAUUCCCGUUUUUCUCCCUGUCUGUUUGCUACAGUGCUCUUAAAAGGAUAGCAUCUUUAAUGCACCUCAGAAGUAGUUAAGAAAGUCUUGAUAAAAAACCAGACAUUUUCUAUCUACUCAAAACGUAGUUAUUGGACUAAUUAAGAUUCUAAUCCCUUUAAUAAAUAUUCAAAAAGGGUUACUGUCACUACUCAGUCCUUGUUGUUUUAUAUAAAUAAAUAAAAAAGAUAUUUAAAGGGGCAUCACAUAAAUCCUUCCUAAUUACAUUUUGUUUCAUUCAAGUUGUUGACUUAAUUUGACUGCCUGGAAAAAUUAGUAAAGAGGUAAAAAUAAAAAAAAGGUAAAUUCUAGUUAUUAGACUAAAUAUAUAGUAUAAAUUUGCAGCAACUAGCAAAAGUUUAGAAUAUGAAAAAUCCUAUUUCAUUUAAAAAACAAUGAAAAUUCUAAUCAUUUUAAAAAAAAAAAACUCUGAAAGUUUGAAAAACUAAGAUUUUAAAGUCCUUUUACAAUAACCAUAAUUAACACAAAUUUCCGAAUUAUUAUUACAUAAUAAAAUUUUACUAAUAGAAAUAAGAAAACAAAACAAAUAGCACUCAAAUCGGAUAUAUAAAAAAAAUCUUGAAAUAAAUAGAAAAAAUAAGAAAAUAACUAAAACUUGCAAAACGACCACGAAAGAAAUGAAAUUUCCGGCCGAACUAAGGGGCCAAUGUGCAUAGUAUUAUUGGACUAGAUUUAUCACACCACAAGCUUCAAAACAAUAUAUUAUAUUUCCUAAAUGGACACAUGUAGGUUAAGUUACUCAAUUGUGUUAGGAGCUGUCCAAGCAAAAUCUAGGCCCUCAAAGCCAUAAAGCCUAGCUAUUCUUAUUGAAGAGUCGAUGAAAGAUUUUCUGUGAGAAGAAUUUCUCACCAUUGAAGAAUAUAUAGAACAGUUUGUAUAUCUUCCUCGUCCAAUGGAGAGAAGUGUAGUGAUUGAUGGGUUCUUUUGUUUCACAGCGUCUGUAAAUUUGGGGAAUAUUUGAUUUCCAUCAAAUGGUGAUGAUAAAGAUAGCUGGUAAGCGGUGGAAUUGAUAUCAGCGUAAGAGCAAAUAAGGUGAGUGAAGAGAUCAUAAUUUAUGCGCGAAAUGGCGGACACUUAGCCUGAAUACAAGUAACCGACCCUGAUCCACGGUUUUGCUUUCGCGGGAUGAAGUUCUGAAUAGAACAACAUGUGG
RNAcentral lists this long non-coding RNA (45816 nucleotides) under Citrus x clementina. Its description in RNAcentral is "Citrus clementina (C. clementina) long non-coding RNA (CCLE_LNC001103)". The record is from RNAcentral. Lineage: Eukaryota; Viridiplantae; Streptophyta; Magnoliopsida; Sapindales; Rutaceae.